RNAcentral lists this long non-coding RNA (80660 nucleotides) under Triticum aestivum (bread wheat). RNAcentral describes it as "long non-coding RNA (TAES_LNC005942)". Lineage: Eukaryota; Viridiplantae; Streptophyta; Magnoliopsida; Poales; Poaceae. The record is from RNAcentral.
UAACAAUGCCCCUACAGCCGCUUUUGGGGUGAUUCUGGCUAGCCUAUCCUCUGCUCACAGAGUUGUUGUAGCAGCGCUCUCUACUAUCCUGUUGUUGCCCUAGUGUCCCAGAUAUUUAUCAGCAACCGCGAGUUGAAGCUAACCCAUGGACCAUAUAUUUAUUGUUGAGCUCUGGUUGCUGGCAGCAACAAGCAAUUGUAAACCCAAACCAUGGAGAUAAUAUUUUGUUUCAUCUACUGCUUCAAUUGAUGCCAGUCUUUCUGUGUAAUCAAGGAGUAAAGUACACUUGCUUGUUGCAACUGAACAAUAUAUUCCUUUUGUUAGUUUCCUUGAUUGAUGACAUACAGCUGGAAGCACCAACUGUCAAACACUUUGGCAGUGAUAAUUGCCGCCACGACGCCCCGUUGCAGAUUGCCCAACACAUGGAUACAGAUAACUUUAUCUAUGGGAGAACUCAACUCAUUUUAUAUCAUGAUGAUAUGCUGACUAGCAACAGUUGGCUGAACUCCCAUUACCUUCUGAUCAUAAUGAAUCCGUCCGGCCAAUAUGGAUCAAGCUGACGGACAAUUGAGAUGGAUAACUAGAAGCUGCUUAAUCAUUCAGGCUAGCUACUGUGCUAGAUUUGGUCUGGUUGGAAAUGCGCUGCAUAGAUGGACGUUGCUAUAUCAGACUACCGGACGCAUGCUCCAUGGUAAGUACGGUGGCUGUUGUCUCUUAUGACACUACUCCAUCUGUUCAUAAAUAUAAUUCUUUUUAGAGAUUUUAAUAUGGACUAUAUACAGAUGUACAUAAACGUAGUUUAGAGUGUAGAUUCGCUCAUUUUGCUCUGUAUGUAGUCCAUAUUAAAAUCUUUAAAAAGACUUGUACAAUAUUUAAGAACGGAGGGAGUAGAUCCUAUCCAGCAUCUAUGCAUCCAUGCCAAACCUGAUUGCAUUAUUCAGAAAGCAACCCAUUCACUAGAACGACACACAAAAUUGAUAGGUCAAAGUGAUGAUUUGCAGUUAGGAGUCUAGUAGGAGGUAAGAAGGAAAACAUCCACCAAAUUCCUUCUGUUUUCAUGCAUGUAUAGAGGUAAGAAAAAAGGAGGGGUUCCUUCAUUUUCCACGGGACCUAGUUGCGCGACGGCGACGUGUCCUGGAUCCUCGCGGAAAGUUCCAUGAACGCUUCAAUCAUCCACGUCGCUAUCCUCUUUCAUCGUUUGAUGCAGUGCGUGUACCACGAGCUUAGUGCAGACGUUGAUGGCUUUGGUCGGAGAGCGACAUGGUUUCUUCAGUGUAGGUCACUUGAAGGCGAGGAAAGGCCAAAGUAAAAACACGAUUGGUUGGAUGGAACGUAACCACACCUGGUUCUGGUUGCUUGAUAGCUUCUUCACGGGGCCGGCCAACAGAGGAUCGUAAAGCUAACAAUUCUAUCGCCGUGACAGAUAAUAAGAAUAAAAACCUCCCUCUUGGUGUCCCUUUGUUAGCUAGGCCGGGCAUCUUUCAAAUUAAUAUUGUGAAAUUCUGCAAUCCACAAACCACCCCAACCGACAGUCAGAAUUUUUUUGAAUAUGCCCGUAAGUUUAUUGGAGACUUGAGCAAAACUCAGAUCGGAGAAGAAUAUGGUCCUGUCGAUUUUGUUUCUGACGGAAGGCGUGGCACGAUUGUGUGUCACGUGUACUUUCGGCGCCUUUCUUCUUUUUCUCGAGUCCCGUGUUAGGAUCCUGGAAAUAGAGGGAAUGAUGAUAGCUCGAAAAGUGUUUGCUACGUUGAGUUGUGCAACGCUGGAAAGUUCGGCUCCAUGUGACAGCUUGGUUUAUCCAGGGAAAACAACAGUGAAUCUACUCUUUAACUUAGCGAAAUUCAUAUUUCUUGAGUUCUUAAAAAUUGCGAGAAAAGGGAUAGAAACACCAUCCAUCAUAGUAAAGUGCAGGAAACAAAAAGGUACAAUAUAGCUACGAUCUAAUGGGCUCACAACAUGAUAAGACACAACGAUAAAUUGAAAUAACAUGUCACUAGGUGAUCGCAAAUAGCCUACACCUAAGGAAUGGGUGGCUAACCUCAAGGCAACAACCAAAUGUUGUAGUGUCCUAGGGUUCCAAUGUGAGUUCUCACUCCAUGUUAUAUACUCUGUUCACCCCUAUUGGAGAGAAUUGACCACAUGGGCCAGGAGAUGUUCGAAUACUGAAGCCCAAUUACUGUCCAACACUCCGCUUUAAGAUGUGUGAUAAAUAUCUACCGUUCCCAUUUUGACACAAGCUCGAUUGCAAUCCUUGACAGCCAAACCCUUUGUUGGAUAAUCAUCAACCUUUUGCCAUGCACUCACAUAGUUGACCUUGAUGAUUCUAGCAUCCAACUUCUCUUUAAUAAAAAAAUUUAUCGAUCUCAAUGUGCUUUGUCCUAUCAUGUUGGACUAGAUUAUUUGCUAUGCAAAUUGUUGACUUGUUAUGACACCAUAAGUUCAAGUGUCUUGCCUUUAACACCUCCAGCUCACUCAAAAAGUUUCUUACCCAUAGCAUCCCACUUAAUCCUUAACACGUGGCUUUAUACUCCCCUUCUGUAGUUGACCUUGAUACUAUUAUUUUUUUCGCUUCUCCAUGAUACCAAGUUCCCUCCAACGAAUACACAAUAACAUGAAGUUGACCUUCUAUCAUCCAAACAACUUGCCCAAUCAACAUCACUAUAACUGUCAACUGUUAGAUCCAUUUGCUUUAAACCAUAGCCCUUUUUUUUGGAGUUCCUUUUAUAUUUUUGUGAUAAAAUUUCAAUAUAUUCAUGUUCAAUCAAGGCGGUACAAAGAAUAACAGAGGUAAUAAAAAUUACAAUCAUGUUCGUGGACCACCUAGCGACGACUACAAGCACUAAAACGAGCCGAAGGCGCGCCCCAUCAUCGCCUCUCCCUCACUGGAACCGGGCAAUCCUUAUUGUAGUAGACAGUCGGGAAGUCAUCGUAAUAAGGCCCCAUAGGACCAGUGCACCAGAGCAGCAGCCAUCGCCGAUGAAGAAAGUCGUAGAUCAGAAGGGUCAAACCUAUAAACACUCAAAUGAAGACGAACGAAGACCAGAUCCAAACAGAUCCGCCGAAGGCCAGUACCGACGGAAUCCCGCGAGAUCCGACAGAGACACAUCUCCACACGCCCUACGACGAUGCUAGAUGCACCAUCGGGACGGGGAUAGAACGUGAGAGACAUUAUCCCUACUAGGGACAUCGCCACCGCCACACAACCCAACCAAGACGUUGAGUCUAACAAGAACGAGAACAUCGUCCCUCCCGCCGGUGGUGGGCCAAGAUCCUCUACACCUCCAUGGCCGAGAGACCAUCGGAAAUGAGGCGGACCCGGUCAGCAUCACUAUUACUGACAACUGUUAGAUCCAUUUGCUUUAACCCAUAGCCCUUUUUCUGGAGUUCCUUUUAAACAUCUUAGGAUUUGGGACAUCAUCCAUAUGUACACUUCUUGGUUCAUGCAUGUAUAUGCUUAGAGCAUUACUAGUAGAGCCCUCAAACCCUCAAACCCCUAAAAACAACUGCUUUUUUACAGUUUUCGUCGAAAAAAAGCCGUAGACUAGAACCCCUUAACCCUCAAACCCUCAAAUUUUUUUAAAGGUCCAACCCUCAAACCCUCUCCCAAUCCUCAAAAGUAAGGGUUGGGGAGCAAAACCUACCCCAACCCUCAUUUGGCGGUUAUCCUCGCGCGGGAGGGAAAAAUCCCCCCAACUCCCGCGCCCACGCCCUCGACCGCCGCUGCUAGUCGCCCCCGUCGCCUGCGGCCGCCCCGUCGACCUCCCGUCAUGGGGAAUAUUCCGUUAUAAGGGUUGGGUUUGAGGGUUCUAAUCUUUGCCCCUGUUUUUCAACCCGUAAAAGUGCACAAAAAGAUCAUUUUUGGACCCUUAAAACGCUAGUGAGGGUUUGAGGGUUUGAGGGUUCUACUAGUAAUGCUCUUACUAUCCUAAAUUGAGCUCUUAUUUUGUGAUCCUGGUCAAUGGGUGUUGGAGCUGCAUGGCAUUCCAUCAUCCCAUAUCACUGAGGAGGUCUAAGUUAUACUUGCGUUGUGAUAGAACUAUUCCCUUCUUUGAUCUUUUCACCUCUAUCCCAAGAAAGUAUCUAAGUUGACCAAUAUUUUUUACUUCAAAUGCUUUGCUUAAACAACUCUUAACCUUUGUUAUUUCUACUGUAUCAUAUCCUGUGAUUAUUAUAGCAUCCAUGUAGACUGCUAGAAUCGUGAUCUUCUGAUUUGAGUAUCUAUUGAAUAUAGUGUGGUCUCCACUACACUGGCCAUAUCCUAUUUCACACACAGCUCUUCUAAAUUUGUCAAACCAAGCUCUAGGGGGACUGUUUUAAGCCCCAUGGAUACAAUAUUUUGUUUCAUCUACUGCUUUAAUUUAAUCAAUGUCACUCUUUCAGUGUGACCAAGGAGUAAAGUACACUUGCUUGUUGCAACUGAACUGCCCAUUUCCACAGUAAUUAAGAAACGAGUGUCCUCAUCUCAUGUCUGUCUUAAUUAGACUAACAUCUCUUUUGUUCCUUUCGCUGCUGACAUACAGCUGGAAGCACCAACUGUCAAACACUUGGCGAUGGCCCUGAUACUCGCCACCACGACACCCGUUGCUGAUCGUUCCGGCACGUGGAAACAGAUAAUUUUGACAAUCGCUCCGAAGAACUCAUUCAUUCAUAUGAUGAAAUGCUGAGUGGAGUAGUAACUUAACAGUUGGCCGAACUCCCUUUUGGUUUUAACGAAUCAGUCCGGCCAGCAAGCUGACGCAGACAACUCAGAUAACUAGUAGUAGAACUCUAGAAGUGGCCCAAUCAUGCAGGCUAGAUCAUUCAGUCUACUGGAGUUUUCUGAUAGUGUAGUACUUACAGUACUACAUAGAUGUCAGAUCAGGUCUCACCAGACGCAUGCUUGAAGCAUAGGCGUUACAGUAGAUAGGUAGGUGGCUGUUGUCUGCAUGACACUAGAUCCUAUCCAGAAUCUAUGCAAAACCGCUGCUUGACUUGAUUGCAUUAGUUGGAAACCAAGCUCACCCGCUAUAAUAACACAAAAAAGAUGAUAGGUUAAUGUGAGGAUUUGCAGCUGGGGGCAUCAAGAACUAGCCUUGUUUCCUGUAGCGGAAAAUGAGAUGAGAUCCAUCUACUAGUGGUUUCCACGAGACGUAAUUGCGCGACGGCGAGAUAGUUGGGCUUGCUACCAUGUACGUCGUCAUCGGCUUUAUUGUUUGAUGCGAUGUUACGUAUGUUCCACGAGAUUAAGCAAACGCUGCUGACUUUGGGUCGCAAAGCGAGAUGUUUUCUAUGUGCUCUGCCUCCGUCACUUGAAGGCAAGAGGCACCGCGCGAUUAGGUUGGGACGUAGUACGAAUACGUGCACCUGUUCUUGAGGCAAGGUUUCUCAACCUUUUUCCUAGUAAAACUUUCCAGAUGGUCAUCAGGUUCUUGCUGUCGCUUUGCCAGGUAGGCAGGCAUAUGUAGAUUGUUUCUGGCAUCAUGGAAGGUGGAAACACAGGGAAUGGAAUGAUGAUGUUUAUGGCUAUUUAGCUUCACUGUAUCUCAGUUGAGUAGACGUGAACUAUAUACGCUUGGUAGUUGCAACAGAACUACACUUUAGUGAUUUAAACGUUCGUAUAUUUCUGUACAGAGGGAGUACUAAUUAAUAGCAAGGGUUGUGCGCAUCACAAUGAUGUAGAGUCCGGGGCUCCAACCUGUUUCUUGAAAAGGAAAAAGAAAUCAGUGUAUGUCUUGAACUAACAUCUCUCUUGUUCAUUUCAUUGCUGACAUACAACUGGAAGGGAAGCACUACCAAGUGUCAAAACACUCGGCGAGAGCCCGCCCAACCACGCCCCUUGCAGACCACUGCAACACAUUGAAACGGAUAGCCUUAAGCCCGUUCAUUUUUUAUCAUGAAACGUCGAGUAGCAACAGCCGGUGCAAAUUGACGCGGACAGCUCAGAUAUGAACGCAGCACACCAAUGAGUAACCAAGCAGUUGCCAAUCAUGCACGCAGACUAGUAGAGUAGUGGUACUAGAUUCGUGCAGCCGAACUUGGAUGUCAGAUCCGAUCACCAGAUGCCUGCCUGAAGCACAGAUGUCCUUGGAGUAGUAGGUAAGGUGGCUGUUGCCAUGUCUGCAUGACACUAGCUAGUUCUUAUCCAGAACUGCAGAAUCUGUGUGCCGAAACCGCUGCUGGAUUGCACUGUUUAGAAGUUAAGCAACUCGUCCACUAGGACGGCUAUUAAUCCAUUCCAUGGCAUAGUCAAACAACUUGCAGUCAGCAUCAUGAUAAACAAUGACAUGAGAGGGAAAAACUGGCAUUAAUUCCUCCAUACAGAGGGAAAAGGAUGGCCAUCUAGAGGCAAAAUAUCCUGGUUUCUCAUGCAACUUUUCAUGAACGCUUUUAACGUGCGUCGAUAUCGGAUUUAUUAUCUGAUGCAAGCUGCCCCCAAAAGUAACAGUAUAUACGCGAGUACCACGCAUACCCUAUUCACUUUUGUUGGAAAGGGAAAUAUGUUUCUUUUCAUUUUUUUUAUAUAUUAGAUGUUCCAUGAACUAGUAAGCGACGGGUACCCACCCCAAGUCGCUCGCGUCGCCUCCAGGGGGCCACUCGAGCGAACCCUAGCCGCCGCUGCCCCUACCCUCCUUCCCCUACAUCCCUGCCGUCGCCGGAGGAGGCCGGCGGGCGAAGCUCGCUCGACGGACAGCAUAUGACAGGCUUUCCUCCUCUCUNNNNNNNNNNNNNNNNNNNNNNNNNNNNNNNNNNNNNNNNNNNNNNNNNNNNNNNNNNNNNNNNNNNNNNNNNNNNNNNNNNNNNNNNNNNNNNNNNNNNNNNNNNNNNNNNNNNNNNNNNNNNNNNNNNNNNNNNNNNNNNNNNNNNNNNNNNNNNNNNNNNNNNNNNNNNNNNNNNNNNNNNNNNNNNNNNNNNNNNNNNNNNNNNNNNNNNNNNNNNNGGCAGGAUGGGGCGGCGGACCGAUGGGAUUUCGGCAGCGGCUGAACCACCACGGCUGCGGGGCAGCAUGGGGGUGGCUAUGACGGCUGGCGGCGGCGGAUCUGGGGUUCAGAUCGGUUCUUCUCCGGGUGGUGCGGGCUCGGGCGCCGGCCGGGGGCCCUGAGCGAUGGUGGGUGCGUGCCUAGGUUUCCCUCCUUCAUCGGUGUGGUUGGGGGCGGCCGGAGGUGUCCGUGUGGUGCCGACAACUUUUGGAGUCGGCUCUGUCCGACGGCCGGCAUGCGCGGGAGUGGAAAAUCUGGCAGGCCACGGCCCGCUGUGAAUCCCGGAAGCGUCAUCUCAGACUUGAUCUGCUCUAGCUCGUGCUAGCUCCAAUACCUGGCAACUACAUUUUCUCGGUGCUGGCUAGAUGGAUCUAGAGGGUGAGCAUGGAUCCACAGAAACUCCAGGCCGGCGACGGCCUCACUAAAGUCGACGCCCCGCAGCGCCGAUUACCUUCCUGGAGCCUUUGGUGCGGAUCAUGUACCUCUCACCUCCUUCAUGAGCGCAGGCGAAAACCUCUGUUCCUCUGCUAUGGGCGAUGACAUCACCUGGAUGUUGUGUCCCUUCCUGAUGGCGUCGACCGAGGACUGCUCAUGGUGGUGGAGUUGUUGGUAGUGCGGAGUCGGUGCGAGAUGGCCUGUAGGUGGAGCGGCGUAGCAUCUACCGUAUCGACGACAGUGGGUUUGGGCGGCAUGGUGCAGCAGAGUCUCGGCGUCGCAUGUGUCUAGAUGGACGGGCGCAGGGUGAUGGCGCUGUUUGAUAUCAUGGUAACAUCGACGACAGAUGGGCCUGGCAAGAUAUUUGCAAUGAUCACUCCUGAAAAUGGGACAGUGGAAGUUGGCGGCGGCGUAUCCUAGAGCGUGUGCAUGCAGUGCACGUUGUGAGGCGCCUAGACCGGUUGGUACUCUCGGCUUGCAAGGCGGGCGGCUUCUUAAGGCCACUGGAUUUGAUGGUGUCUAUUGAUGCGAUCAGUGCACAUCUUUAUAUGUGUAGUUUUUUUUGCAAGUGAUAUACAUAUAGGUAUAGCGAUCUUGUUCACCUUGAAGGUGGAUUUGGGUUAAUCUUUGUACUACUUACUUUUAUCAGCUUUUAAUGAAUAAAUUAAUAAAGAUGAUUGCACACAUUAUUUUGAAGCAGAGGCUGGGGUAAUUUUUCUUUUAUUGUUUAUAUACCCUACGUUACUUGAAGGAAAUGAGAGGCCAAGGGCAUGAUUGCUUUGUUGGAAAUACACCUGGUCGCUCGAUUGCUUCUCGGGCGGCGCUUCCGAGCCUUUUUCUAGAACCCUACACACGAUGUUGAUGAUGGAAGCCACCAGAGGAUCUUAAAACUGACAAUUCUGUCGCUGUUGGAUAUAAAGACACCAACUUUUUUCUUAGACAAACAAGAUACCAACUUUUUUGCCGUGGCUUUGCCAGCUAGGCGGGCAUAUAUCUGUAGAUUGUUUCUGACGGAAGGCAUAGAAAAAUUGUGUGUGCCAUGUACUUUCGGCGCCGUCCUCCUUUUCUCUUCUUUUUCGCCUGAAAGUCCCGUGUGAAGUAUCCAGGAAGUAGAGGGAAUGAUAACUGCAAAAGAACGGAUCUGCAGCUGCAAAAGAAUGAUAACUGCCCAACUCUGAAAACUUUCAGCUCCAAGACCAAGAGACAUCAGACUUAGCCAAGGAAAAUGCUCAACGGGAACUAGGUUCAUGUGAAUCUACGUUUUCAAAUUUAGCGAGAAUCAUAAUUUUAAGUUUUGAAAAUAUGUUAAAGAAAAACCCAACAAAUGUAGGUAUCAAGUAAAAACUUACCGUGUAUUUUUUCUUUCAAAAACGAGGAUAAGCAUGCGGUCUUUGCAUUAUCCAUUGCACACAACUAAAUUUAUCGUACCACAAAUUUUGAAAUGUAAUACGCACUCGUAUCUUUUAUUAUCAACAAUAUGACUUUAUUAACUAAGCGAAGAUUUUACAUCAAUUUGGAGAAAAUGAAAAGGAAAUGAUCAGCAAACAACAAUCCUACCCCCGGUCAUUCCUUUCCUCUGCCCCCGCGACCUAGGCAAAGUGGCGGCCGAUCUAUUGCUUCCCUAGCGAGACUACGCCACCCUCUCCCUUUGCCUGUCGCUCCAACAAGAGGGGGUGCAGGGACCCUAGUGCUUCCGAAAGGACAUCUAGCCCCUAAUGAGGGUUUUGAUGUUAAUGGCCCUAUGUAUAGAUGACCAACUAUUUUCCAGAGUGCUUACACAGGAUACACACCCUUCAAAAUGAAACAUAAAGUUGAUCGAAGCCCCCCCCCAAUGAAAGAAUAAAAUAAGUCGUGAUGUGAUUUUUCUACCGGUGAUUUCUCGUUUUGAGGCAUAGGCAUACCAAAUUAUUAAGAGGGGAUACACCAUUGAUCGAACUGUGGGAAUGGAUGAACCAACUCAAAGCCAAAAUCACCCACACCCUACGCGAGAGAAAGCCCCUUAAAUAUGCCCAUCACUUUACUCUAUGGCGAGCGUCGGAGGUGCCUUAGACACCCCGAGCGGCCUUUGAGCCUACAUGUUUGUUUCUGUCCCCGUGUCGGACACUCCGAAGUGUCUCAGAGCCUCUGGCCUCUCGACCCUCCAAGUGACCUCCGGGGUACCUUUGACCGAAAACAUAACUCUCUAUUUUCACUCGGACGUACAUCAGAACCGGGUCGGAACCUCCGAAAGGCCGACCCUUCUAAGCGUCUCGGAGCCUCUGAGAUUUCUAGGUAGUGGCAUAACGUGUAGAUUUAAGCAAGACAUAUAUAUAUAGGCUCCUUCUUCCCCCCGAGGAAGGUGACGACUCCAACACUCUCUCCACCAUUUUUUAACAUAAAAAAUCUUGAGAUAUCCAUCCCUGGCCUUCCAUUCAACCAAUAAUUUUAGGGAGAGGAAGACACGACCUUGAUCUACAAUCCCAUAAAAGAAAAAGUCAAGUUCAUUGUUCCCCACAAGAUCUUUCGCGAGUUUUGUUACUCUUGUGUUUGGCACAUGUGGAAGGAUCAGGAGGUCAACUAGAGGGGGGGGGGGUGAAUAAGAGUACAAAGUUGUAGCUUUAACUUCCAAUUUUAGGGGUAAUGUAGAUAAAGUAAGUUAUCUAGAUAUGAAAUCUACGGUGAGAACAACAUAUAUGACAAGCAAGCUCAUAAACUAGAUAAGCAAGAGCAACAUGCUAGCUAGCCAUCAAACACAAUUGAAGGUGCAAAAAAGGAUUAAUCACGCAAGUCGGAGAUGCGGAUGUAUCCCGAAGUUCACACUCUUGGGGGAGUGCCAAUCCCGGUUGGAAAGGUGUGAAAUACAAAGCUCCUAAAUGCUAUCAAGUGGCUCACCUAGUCUCCCUUCUGAAAGAAUCGAGAGGUCGACAAAAGGGGGGUGAAUAGGAGACUACAAAAUUUAUGCUUAACUUCGGGAUGAAGUAAGUUCUCUAGAUAUGCAACUAGGUGAGAACAACCUAUAUGGAAAUCAAGCUCAAGGCAACAUAUGCUAGGCAAUAAUCCAAUUAGCAAGCCAACAAGCAUAUAAAGCAAGUGAAGGUACGAGAAAGGAUUAACACAAAUGACUUGAGGACUCGGAUUUUAUCCAGAAGUUCACACUCUUUGGGGAGUGUUAAUCUCCGUUGGAGCGAUACCAAAACCAAAGAUCCGGAGAGCCACCAAGUGGUCACUGUAUUCUCCCUUUGAGUCACCCCAAAGGAUGAGCCUCAAAUCACUUGUGGUUGGUCUUGAAUGCGACCACCACACCUUUACAAACUUUCUGGCGCACACAUAAGCAAGGAAGUUUUCGGGGAUGACCUCUACCACAUAGGACCCAAGCUCCAAGAGUAACAAGUGUUGAUGAAGAAAUCGAGAGGGGAACACAAAUUGGUUUGGUGAAAGUGUACAUAAGAUCUUACUCUCUCUAUCCCCAAGUAAUCGACAAAUCUGGGUGGAGGAAUAGAGAGUAUUGAGAAAAUUAAGGUGUAGCAAUGGUGAUAGGCUCACAAGACAUUAGUGUUAGGGAUGGAGGUAGAAGGAGACUUAUAUAGUCUUACCAAAGAUCUAGCCGAUAGCUACUUGGAGACCACAUGCACACAUGCUUAAGGCCUUGUGUGAACGGUACAAGCCCAUGUGCAGGGGUUACAACAACAACAACAACAACAACAACAAGUUGGGGUAGGCUAGAGGUGAAACCCAUAAGAUCUCGCAACCAACUCAUGGAUUUGGCACAUGGAUAGCAAGCUUCCACGCACCCCUGUCCGUAGCUAGCUCUUUGGUGAUACUCCAAUCCUUCAGGUCUCUCUUAACGGACUCCUCCCAUGUCAAAUUCGGUCUACCCCGCCCUCUCUUGACAUUCUCCGCACGCUUUAGCCGUCCUCUAUGCACUGAAGCUUCUGGAGGCCUGCGCCUAAUAUGCCCAAAUCAUCUCAGACGAUGUUGGACAAGCUUCUCUUCAAUUGGUGCUACCCCAACUCUAUCUCGUAUAUCAUCAUUCCGGACUCGACCCUUCCUCGUGUGGCCACACAUCCAUCUCAACAUACGCAUCUCCGUCACACCUAACUGUUGAACAUGUCGCUUUUUAGUCGGCCAACACUCAGCGCCAUACAACAUUGCGGGUCGAACGCCGUCUUAUAGAACUUGCCUUUUAGCUUUUGUGGCACUCUCUUGUCACAGAGAAUGCCAGAAGCUUGGCGCCACUUCAUCCAUCCGGCUUUGAUUUGAUGGUUCACAUCUUCAUCAAUACCCCCAUCCUCCUGCAGCAUUGACCCCAAAUACCGAUAGGUGUCCUUCUGAGGUACCACCUGGCCAUCAAGGCUAACCUCCUCCUCACACCUAGUAGUACUGAAACCGCACAUCAUGUACUCGGUUUUAGUCCUACCAAGCCUAAACCCUUUCGAUUCCAAGGUUUGUCUCCAUAACUCUAACUUCCUAUUUACCCCCGUCCGACUAUCGUCAACUAGCACCACAUCAUCCGCAAAGAGCAUACACCAUGGGAUAUCUCCUUGUAUAUCCCUUGUGACCUCAUCCAUCACCAAUGCAAAAAGAUAAGGGCUCAAAGCUGACCCGUGAUGCAGUCCUAUCUUAAUCGGGAAGUCAUCAGUGUCGUCAUCACUUGUUCGAACACUUGUCACAACAUUAUCGUACAUGUCCUUGAUGAGGGUAAUGUACUUUGCUAGGACUUUGUGUUUCUCCAAGGCCCGCCACAUGACAUUCCGCGAUAUAUUAUCAUAGGCCUUCUCCAAGUCAAUGAACACCAUAUGUAAGUCCUUCUUUUGCUCCCUAUAUCUCUCCAUAAGUUGUCGUACCAAGAAAAUGGCUUCCAUGGUCGACCUACCAGGCAUGAAACCAAACCGUUUUUUGGUCACGCUUGUCAUUCUUCUUAAGCGGUGCUCAAUAACUCUCUCCCAUAGCUUCAUUGUAUGGCUCAUCAACUUAAUUCCACGGUAAUUAGUACAGAACUGAACAUCCCCCUUGUUCUUGAAGAUUGCUACUAAUAUACUCCGUCUCCAUUCUUCUGGCAUCUUGUUUGCCCGAAAAAUGAGGUUGAAAAGCUUAGUUAGCCAUACUAUCGCUAUGUCCCCGAGACCUUUCCACACAUCAAUGGGGAUACAAUCUGGGCCCAUCGCCUUGCCUCCCUUCAUCCUUUUUAAAGCCUCCUUGACCUCAGACUCCUGGAUUCACCGCACAAAACGCAUGCUGGUCUCAUCAAAGGAGUCAUCCAGUUCAAUGGUAGAACUCUCAUUCUCCCCAUUGAACAACUUGUCAAAGUACUCCCGCCAUCUAUGCUUAAUCUCCUCGUCCUUCACCAAGAGUUGGCCUGCCCCGUCCUUGAUGCAUUUGACUUGGCCAAUAUCCCUCGUCUUCCUCUCUCGGAUCUUGGCCAUCUUAUAGAUCUUCCUUUCGCCUUCCUUUGUGCCUAACCGUUGGUAGAGGUCCUCAUACGCCCGACCCCUUGCUUCACCAACAGCUCGCUUUGCGGCCUUCUUCGCCAUCUUGUACUUCUCUAUGUUGUCUGCACUCCUAUCCAGGUAUAGGCGUCUGAAGCAAUCUUUCUUCUCUCUAAUCGCCUUCUGGACUGUUGGAAAUAUGCCCUAGAGGCAAUAAUAAAUUGAUUAUUAUUAUAUUUCCUUGUUCAUGAUAAUCGUUUAUUAUCCAUGCUAGAAUUGUAUUGAUAGGAAACUCAGAUACAUGUGUGGAUACAUAGACAACACCAUGUCCCUAGUAAGCCUCUAGUUGACUAGCUCGUUGAUCAAUAGAUGGUUACGGUUUCCUGACCAUGGACAUUGGAUGUCGUUGAUAACGGGAUCACAUCAUUGGGAGAAUGAUGUGAUGGACAAGACCCAAUCCUAAGCCUAGCACAAAGAUCGUGUAGUUCGUAUGCUAAAGCUUUUCUAAUGUCAAGUAUCAUUUCCUUAGACCAUGAGAUUGUGCAACUCCCGGAUACCGUAGGAAUACUUUGGGUGUGCCAAAUGUCACAAGGUAACUGGGUGGCUAUAAAGGUACACUACAGGUAUCUCCGAAAGUGUCUGUUGGGUUGGCACGAAUCGAGACUGGGAUUUGUCACUCCGUGUAAACGGAGAGGUAUCUCUGGGCCCACUCGGUAGGACAUCAUCAUAAUGUGCACAAUGUGAUCAAGGAGUUGAUCACGGGAUGAUGUGUUACGGAACGAGUACAAGAGACUUGCCGGUAACGAGAUUGAACAAGGUAUCGGGAUACCGACGAUCGAAUCUCGGGCAAGUACAAUCCGAUAGACAAAGGGAAUUGUAUACGGGAUUGAUCGAAUCCUCGACAUCGUGGUUCAUCCGAUGAGAUCAUCGUGGAACAUGUGGGAACCAACAUGGGUAUCCAGAUCCCGCUAUUGGUUAUUGACCGGAGAACGUCUCGGUCAUGUCUGCAUGGUUCCCGAACCCGUAGGGUCUACACACUUAAGGUUCGAUGACGCUAGGAUUAUAAGGAAUAGAUAUACGUGGUUAUAGAAUGUUGUUCGGAGUCUUGGAUGAGAUCCCGGACGUCACGAGGAGUUUCGGAAUGGCCCAGAGGUAAAUAUUUAUAUAUGGGAAGUCCUGUUUUGGUCACCGGAAAAGUUUUGGGUUUUACCGGUAGUGUACCGGGACCACCGGAGGGGUCCGGGGGUCCACCAAGUGGGGCCACCAGCCCCGGAGGGCUGCAUGGGCCAAGUGUGGGAGGGGACCAGCCCCAGGUGGGCUGGUGCGCCCCCCCACCAAGGCCCAAGGCGCCUCCAAGAGGGAAGGGGGGCAAACCCUAGGGCAGAUGGGCCCUAAGGCCCACCCCAGGUGCGCCUCCCCCUCUCCCCCUUGUGGCCGCCACCCAGAUGGGAUCUGGGGGGCUUCCGCCACCCCUAGGGAGGGAACCCUAGGUGGGGGCGAUCCCCUCCCCUCCCCCUAUAUAUACUUGAGGUUUGGGCUGCCCAAGACACACGAGUUCCUCUCCUUCUUGGUGCAGCCCUACCCCUCUCCCUCCUCGUCUCUUGCGAUGCUUGGCGAAGCCCUGCUGGAGUACCAUGCUCCUCCACCACCACCACGCCGUUGUGCUGCUGCUGGAUGGAGUCUUCCUCAACCUCUCCCUCUCUCCUUGCUGGAUCAAGGCAUGGGAGACGUCGUCGGGCUGUACGUGUGUUGAACGCGGAGGUGCCGUCCGUUCGGCACUAGGAUCUCCGGUGAUUUGGAUCACGACGAGUACGACUCCUUCAACCCUGUUCUCUUGAACGCUUCUGCAUAGUGAUCUACAAGGGUAUGUAGAUGCACUCUCCUUCCCCUCGUUGAUGGUUUCUCCAUAGAUAGAUCUUGGUGACACGUAGGAAAAUUUUGAAUUUCUGCUAUGUUCCCCAACAUGGACAUCAUCAUUCCACCAUCAGGUAUCCUUAUCUUCGCUUCUCCUUCCCCUGGACACUCCAAACUCCACCAAGGCCACCUUAUGAAUGCAAGUCACCAUUUUCAUCCACACAUUGUUCGCAUCCCCUCCUUCCUCCCAAGGGCCCUCCUUAAUGACCCUCUCCUUGAACGCUUGAGCUACCUCCCCCUUGAGCUUCCACCACUUCGUUCUAGCGACUUUGGCACGCUUAUCCCGCUGGACACGAAUCCGAAAGCGGAAGUCAACAACCACCAGCUUAUGUUGGGGUACAACACUCUCUCCAGGUAUCACCUUACAUUCUAGGCACGCACACCUAUCUUCUCUUCUCGAGAGGAUGAAAUCAAUCUGGCUAGAGUGUUGGCCACUACUAAAAGUUACUAGAUGUGAUUCUCUCUUUCUAAAGAGGGUGUUAGCUACAAUCAUGUUGUAGGCUAGAGCAAAGCUUAAGACAUCUUCUCCUUCUUGAUUCCUGAUGCCAUAUCCAAAACCCCCAUGCGCCCCUUCAAAACCUGUGUUAGAUGUACCCACGUGGCCAUUGAGGUCUCCUCCUAAGAAGAGCUUCUCACCAAUCGGUACACUCCUAACCAUGUCUUCCAGGCCUUUCCAGAACUCCCUCUUGGUGUUCUCAUUGUGGCCUACUUACGGGGAUACGCGCUGAUAACAUUGAGAACCAAGUCCUCAACUACCAGCUUGACCAGGAUAAUCCGGUCCCCACGUCUCUUGACGUCUACCACUCCAUACUUGAGGCUCUUGUUGAUCAAGAUGCCUACGACAUUUCUGUUUGCAGCCGUCCCCGUGUACCAUAGCUUGAAGCCGGUAUCCUCCACCUCCUUCGCCUUCUGUCCUCUCCAUUUGGUUUCUUGGACGCAAAGGAUAUCAACACCUCUCCUCACCGCUGCAUCAACUAUCUCCCGGAGCUUCCCUGUCAGAGACCCUACGUUCCAGCUACUUAAGCGAAUCCUCCUAGGCUCGGCUAGCUUCCUUACCCUUCGCACUCGUCGAGUCAAAUGCGAAGACCCUUGCUCAUUUUCCUCUACAUCCGGGCGCCGAUGUAGCGCGCCACUAAGGAUGCGACGACCCGAUCCUCGCUCACUUGCCACCGUAUCCGGAUCAAGAUACGAUGCACCACCUGGGGGGUGACGGCCCGGCCCUUGCCCAUUUUCCACCACACCCGGAUUCCGACAUGGCGCGUCGCUGGGAGGGUUACGCCCCAACGAAUAUCUUUUGGGUUUCAUCUCCAUAAGAGUGGCUGAGUUUUUACGUUGGCUUGCCAAGCCUAUGACAACCCUCCUCCUUUACCCGGGCUUGGGACCGGCUAUGUUGAGACAACAUAGGCGGAGUUAAGCCCAUGUGCAGGGGUUGUCCAGAAGAUUUUCCACCUACCCCAUGUGCACUAGGGUCAGAAGGCCCGUGUACAUACGGUGUCUAGAGAGUUUUGCCUAGACCUCAUGUGCACGGGGUAGCCAGCCAAGGGCCACAUCUUAGGUUGGACUUGGCAAUUUGGCGGUGGAUAAACUUAGGUACACUAGUGUAUAUGGUUUGCAAGUUCCUCAUAUCUCAUCCAAGUAUCUUGACCCUCUUUAGAAUGUGGUUAGUGACACUAAUGACUUAAAGAAACCAAAAAUAAAUUUCAAGUUGUCGGAGAACCAGACAAUUUCUUUUUAGAAGUGAGGUGGGGGGAAACCAUCCUCUUUAAAAUAACCCUCGAGGGACCAAUCGCCUGAGAUAAAUUGUAGCAACCGUCAUUAGUGUCACUAACCACAUUAUUAUCACACCAAAACAUCAUUUAAGGAUAAAUGCACUUUCAACCUCCUCUUUUUUGCUGAACUGUUGACAAUACGGCUAGAGCAUGGCAAAAGAUAUAAACAAUGAAUAAGGCCAUGCAACUAUAUUUAUAUAAGGAGCUCCCCCUCCAUCUGUGCAUGUAUAGAUAUUGCUUGAAAUGCAAUACACACACAACAAGAUGCCCCCUAUAUCAAUAUACAAAUGCAAUGAAUACGAGUUAAGAUCAUGGUCUAAUAAACUCAUUGCAUAAAGGCUUGACAUGUGGUCAACAACACAACAAGGCGGUGCAAGGAUGACAUGCAAGAGGUGUAGCGAGAGAGCAUAAUAAGUGAGACAAUGAGCAUAGAGAUAUGACAUGAUAUGAGCACACAGAUAAAUAACUGAGCAUAGCAUAUCCAGUCACAACAUAACAAUAGCAAUACCACAUAGUCUUACACAAACAUAAAUAGUAUCUCUCACACCACAAUAUAAAUAAAUAAAAGUAAGUAGCACAAGUCACAUAAAUACCAAUAAAGAAGAGCAAGGCUUGAGAUCUCCCAAAUGCAGACGCUCCUAAAUAUAACAACCCCUAGCAUCAAAACGCCAAAUAUGAAAAAAGUGAUGCUAGAGUAAUCCUAGACACAUGAAGGGUCACUCACAACAUCAUCCUAAUCAUCGUCAAGGCGCCAACACGCCAAAGGAUUAUCAAACUAUGUGGGAACACAUCCUUUGAUCAUGGAGAACCUUCAUGCACUGUACCAAAUAUGCCUUCUUAAUGUGUUUAUAGAACUUGACCCUAUUGGUAUCCUCAUUUUGACUCCUAGGAUAGGUUAGCACAUCUUGAACAAACUGUCGACGAUCUUGAACAAAGACUUCUUCUCAUGCCUGGUGAAGCUAGCUGGAGCAGACACUUCUGGAGCAUUAGGAGUACGGGCAGCCAAGGAGCAACCUAUGUGUAGGUGGCCAUAUCCUUUGGUAUAUGGGGUUGUGCCCCUUCUUGGGAGGAGAACCCUCGAGUUGACAUGAUACAUGAGGACUGGAGGAACGAUUGUGCUUGGACAACGAGGUGCGGUAAGACGCAAUAGCAGCCCGUGGACAGAUAAUCUCGAUCAAUGCGUGAAUAAAUGAUGCAUAGAUGCAUGAGUGCCGCAUAAGCACACAUUGUGGAAUCUCAUGAAAUAUGAAGUAAAGCACAUCCACCUUCUUCUUGUCUUGUGCAUAGACAAAGAAAUCGAUAGUGGUACUUCUCGUCAGAUGAGAAUCUCCAGCUUUAAAAGCUAGAGUGUACAAGAGAUGAAGCAUAAAGUGGCAUACACAUGUAUCAAGUCGGUCCAAAUAUGCGGGAUUGGCCUUAGUUUUGGUUGAGUUCAGGAUGUCGGGGCUGUUGUCCGGACAUCCGUAAACCUUCCCAACUUUGCUUUUGGAUUACGAAAAUCGAGACAUGUAGAGCAGCCUGCGGCCGUUUGAUGCACGGCGUUGGACGUCACAAAAUGUUCAGAUCGCGAGGCCCGGAUAUUUAACGGACGGUGGUAGAGAUACCCCGAGAAAGUAGACCUUUUGCUUUGCUCGACAGUAACAAUUCAGGCACACGAUAGCAGUCAGUCGAUUUCAACGGUCAGUAGGCGACGGACAGCGACUCGCACCGAGGGCGCGAGGGGCGGCAGGCAAGCACGGAACCACCUCGCGACACGCGGCUCCCACCACAGAGAGAGCACCGAGAGCCAAAGCGGAAAAAAGGGAGAAAUCUUGUGCACCGCCCCCCUCCCCCUCCCCCCAUGGGCAAGAACAAAACCAACUUUCCUUUGCGGCUGCCCACGGUCGUCUUCCACAACCUCCACUCCCUUCGCGCAGCCGCUACCCAGCUUCCGCUCCCUGCCUCAGCACCAGCCUAACCCGGCAGACGCCAAGGUCAAGCAACCGAGCGCAUAAAGCAAGCUCAGGAGCCAGAACCUUCCUCGAUCGACCAGCCACAGUCGGGCGGAACAAGAAUCAGGGCGACGACGCCGGGGGUUCUCCGCUUUCCGACGGCAAGCGAGGUGGCAGUGGCACCGGAGGGAUGGGCCUUUCGGCGGUGAGGCGUAACACGCCGCUCUUCUCCAAGUCGCCGGCGUCCCUGCUGCUGCUCUCCAAGCUGCUCACCCUCUACUGUUGAGCUCCCGGCGGGCGGCUGUUCCCUUCUUCUCGGUCGAGCGAGUCAUCCAUCCAUGGGCGCCGUGGGGUCGUCCGCGAGCCGGGGCGGGGGCACGGCGCUGGGGGACCUGCCGGAGAACUGCGUCGCCGAGGUGAUGCUCAGGCUGAACCCGACGGAGAUCUGCGGGAUGGCGCGGCUCAGCCGCACCUUCCGCGCCGCCGCGUCCGGGGACGCCGUCUGGGAGGCCAAGCUGCCGCGCAACUACGCGCGCCUCCUCGCCGCCGCCGCCGGAGACGAGGAGGCCGCCGCGUUGGAGGCGGAGGCCAUCCCCAAGAAGGAGGUGUACGCGCGGCUCUCCCGCCGCAACUCCCUCGACGGCGGCACCAAGGUGUGUACUUUGUCCCAUCUUUGCGGUGAACAUCGCCACUGUAUCUGUUAAAAAUAUUGAAAAUUUCCCCGCAAUUUCUUUUAAAAAUUUAUGACAAAACCUUGUGCAAAUCAGUAUGCCUGCAAAUUAAUAGAACUGCGGGGAUUUGAGUUUUGUUUGGGGGUAUUGUUUGUGUUAAUAAAGGUGCAGCAAUAUGAGUUUAUUUUGGGGUGAAGUUUGUGUUACUAAAGUGCAGGAAUUUGAGUUUAAAAUAAGGUUUACGGAGAAGUCUGAUUAGUUUCAACGCCGAUUUUGAAGAUGAACUUGUUUGAUUAAUUUGUUCUGUUUUCCUUGAAUUACUGUUUGCUAAUUUGUUAUUGCUACUGCAAAUGAAAUUCAGUAUCUGGUUCAUUGUGCAGGAGUUCUGGCUCGACAAGGCUGGUGGAGGCACCUGCAUGACAAUUUAUUCGAGGGCGCUUUCGAUAACAGGCAUCGAUGACAGGAGAUACUGGAACUUCAUUCCAAAUGAUGAAUCAAGGUGCUUUCAUCAAAACCAAAUACAACAGCUUAUAAUGGGCCUCAUUAAUAGAAACUUCAUGCCAUGACUUCUUUCUUUUUUGUUUGUGGAUGAGUAUCUGAAGUUCUGAACUCCGGGUGCGUAUCGCCGAAGCUGAGCAGCACUUCCCGCUAUUCGUAGUGCUCACUUGUCGUAUGUUAUAGCCACUUAAUAAGAACACCAAAUAGUGCAAACUACAUCAACUCUCCCUGUGUUCAACUCGUGUUACAAGUUGCAACUGACAGUUAGUUAGCUUGUCUUGAUAAUAAAAGCGAAAAGAAGGCGGGAUUGUGAACAACACACUACUUCCACAUGUCACCAACUAGGGGUGUGAUUAUCUGCAGUGGCCUCUGAAAUGUAUGCCAGUUGGGACAUGAUAAGCAGUAGUGGUUUCUGAUGAUGCAUUGGUGCCUUUCAUGUGAGAUAAUUGAGCAUGUUUGCUUUGUUAAUCAUGCCUUUCAUGUGAGAUAAUUGAGCAUGUUUGCUUUACUGGCAUACAACGACAACGCAUAUCCAUUUCAAAUACGGUACAAGUGUGUGUGGUUAUAGAGCCACAAUGUUCCAAACAUUUGGCAGAUAAGAGAAGUCCUGAUAAGCAUGUUGCUUUUUCUGCAGGUUCCGUUCGGUUGCUUAUCUGUCGCAAAUCUGGUGGUUUGAAGUCAGAGGGGAGGUUGAGUUCUGCUUCCCAGAAGGUACAUACAGCCUGUUUUUCCGAAUUCAUCUAGGCAGGCCUUUCAAGCGGCUCGGUCGCCGGGUUUACAGUGCCGAGCACAUCCAUGGGUGGGACGUCAAGCCGGUGCGCUUCCAGCUAUCGACUUCGGACGGGCAGCAGGCCCAGUCCAAGUGUUACCUAACUGAUCCAGGUGUCUGGAUCUAUCAUCAUGUCGGCGAUUUCGUCGUGAAGGACUCGAACGAGCCACUGAAUAUCCAGUUUGCAAUGGUUCAGAUAGAUUGCACACACACAAAAGGAGGCCUGUGUAUGGAUUCAGUGGUUAUAAAACCCAAAUGCCUUGCGCGGAAAAAGGGAACUGGAAGUUAUGAGUAGAUUUAGUGAGCACAUUAAGCUCGAUAUCUAUAGAAACUAUAUGGUUUUGCUUACUUCCUCCGUCGUGUGCUUGCGGCUGUCGGUAUUUUUUCAAUCCUGUAAUGUAAAUGUAAUUGGAGGGGUGAGUGAUCUUUUAUUUCCUCUUGUCCCUAUAGGAGCAUCAAGCAUGUCACACCUUGUAAAUUGUGAGUUUGUGACAGAUCUACAUGUUUGCCUUUGCUAUGUUCUGUGGCACCUGAUCCUUGUGUUCCAAACCUUGGUUGAAUCAAAUUCCCCUCAACUUCCUUUCUGGUCCAACAAAUCAAACAACAAUACAAGAAAUGUUUCAAGGAUUUGAAACUAUACAAAUCCUAUAUACUUAAAUAGUUUAUCUUCACUAACUCAAUUAUCUUAACAUGCAAUUAUGUCAACUCAGUAUGCCACCAUGUAUGUCCCAUAAAAUUUAAUCCUGUUAACAUGUAACUAUGUCAACCCACCAUGAGACUAUGCAGGGAAAGGACCACCUUAGCAUGCACCUUGCAUGCUAUUUAUAUUCGAUUUUUUGUACAACAAUAAAAAUAAUCAAAUAUAAUAAACUAUAUGCACUUUUGUUUUAGUCCUCAUACUAAAGUUUUGUACCGCCAAUUUUCAUAGAAAUAACUGCAUCGAAUUCAAAGCAAAGAGGCCCUGAAUAGCAAAACAAAAACACCGGUGGAAAAUUGUUUGUUGGGGACAUGUCAUUCCUUUGGGGCGUGUGGGUGGGGAUGGGGUGUGCUCAUGACAACAUAGCCAUUGCACAAAGGACGGCCUGUUCUGGUGCUAAACACCUGUUGCUGACACUGAGGAUGAGAUCAUGCGUGACAGCGAACCCAGAUAAGAUUUGUGAUGUUGGUUGCAUGACACCACACCCACACUUUACAACUUUAUACAACCAACCAGAGAAUGAUUAUUAAUCAGGGAAAGAACACCUUAAACUUUCUAAAAGAUGAGAUGCCAACAAGAACAUCUAUCAGCACAGGAAUCUACACCGGAUUGGAGUGGAUCAGUGUCAGCACUGGAUCAUGCUCCAUGAUUCAUUAUUAACUAUUAAUCAGUACCAUUUGCAGUCGAUCACCAUUGUUUAAGCAACCAAUGACACUGAGAUCCAAUGCUAAUUCCAGGAUCCAAGGAUAUUAAUAUGCAGUGGCGGACCAAGAAAUAAAAUGGAGGAUGUGCACACGUUAAGAAAACUGAAGUCUAUUGCAAUUAGCUUGCAUGGGCAUUAAAAAUAAGCUAAUUUUUACAUGGUGAAAAAAUAUCUUCCAAAAAUCUGGGUGUGCCAUGGCACACCUGGCACACCCCCUGGGUACGCCACUGUUAAUAUGGGUGUGCAGCCUUUGCUGUGCCCAAGCUGCAACAUCACUCAGAGAAGAGAAGGAUGGCAAAUAAAAUGUCCACUGAGAAGAUGCAGAGAUCCAGAUUCCACUAAAGCUCUCCUUGCUGAACAAAAGAACUAACUGAUACAGUAUUAAUUACUCUCCCUCCGUUCGGAAAUAAGUGAUCCAAAUUCCACUAGAAUUCAGAAAUUGAACUAAAACAACGUCACUUCUGGCGGAAGUAAUAGUAGGAAUGAGUUCCUACUCUAGAUUGGGAUCUGUGUGUUUCAGUUUCAUCUAGCAUCUGCUAAUAAAAUAGGUCAUUGCCUAGCUUCUGAUUCAGAAAAUCAUGCCCAAUUUUUUGCUGAAAUAAUUAAACAUAAAAGAAUAGUGUUACACGACAUGGAUAUAUUGUAGGCGAUUCGGGCUCACACAUACUCUACUAAUUUCCUUUUGUGCUUCCAGAAAAUUUCUAAAAAAAAAGUAUCCCGAAUGGAGAUAGUUAUAUGGUGAAAUGGUCAUGCUUCAUGAAAAAGCUCGCCUUUUUGUGGCCUGGGUGAAGAAAAAAGGACAUCACAUAUAGUUAUUUUUGACACUUCAUGCUUAUCAUCGUAACGCAGACCACAAAUGAACUCAUAUUCGCAGAACUUUGCGAAAAACACAGUUCAUUCCAUUAUAAUUUUUACAUGCAAGAUUUGUUCCCAAAAUUUUGGAAACCUCAGAACACACUUGUCUGAACCUUUCAAAGUCAAAAAGAGACGUCCUAUAUAAACAUUUACAAAUCUUGCUUCGGACUUUACACAGUGGGCUGAUGUAAAGACUGUGCAAGACAUAGCAAACCACAUCAUCUACUUAGCUGCUCCUGCUCGGUUGCAUUCUCGGAAAAUUGCGAACUAUAUAACCCACUGCCCGCACAUAUUUAUCAUUACCUUAAUGACAAAACAAAGUUGGGGGACAUCAAACAUGGCAUGAUCCGAAAUACAUUUGUUCUUAAAGCACGGUAGACCAUCAAGUAUUUUAUAGUAUAAUAGGCUAUAGGAGAGCAAGAUUGUCCAUUAUCAUGAUGCGGCGAGGAGGCCACAACGUCUCCACUAACAUCGCAAGUUAACCGAAUACCUCCUCAUUGCAGACUGGGCAUGCCUGAAUGAAAACAAAGGUGCAUAUAUCGGAAAAAGAAUCAGAUAAUCCUCUGAAUAUCAAACAACAGAGGAUUGUACACCAAGAUAUCAGACAACAGAGAAUUUUGAUAUGGAGUCCAGACAAUGUCUGCUUUUGUCCAGCGACAUGGCAGGUUAAUAUCAACAUUCAGCAUCUAUUCAUUGAGGACGAAAAACUUAUACUCCCUCCGUCCCAAAAUAAGUGUCUCAAGCUUAGUACAACUUUACAUUAAAGUUAGUACAAAGUUGAGUCACUUAUUUUGGGAUGGAGGGAGUAUUUGAAUUGUAGCAUACCAAAAUAAAAUCGAAUACUUAGAGAAGAAAAAAAAACUGAGUUUUACCUUGUUAAUCUUAAGCCAGCGAGUUAUGCAAUUUGCAUGGUAACAAUGGCUGCAGGGCAAUCUUAUCAACUUCUGUAGGCUUUUAUAGCUCGAUUUGCAGAUCACACAUCUGCAUGGGGGUAUCACACGAUUAUUGUUCAUCAUAGGGUUACAAAAUGAUGAUCGAUUCAGAGUAAAACUAACUGUCACGUACUCAUCGGUAUUCUUUUUGCAGGAGAAGAAGUUACAUUUGUUCCUAAAAGGCUCCAGGUAGCUGAUCAGGUCAUCAGAUAAUCCUCUGGACUGAGUUCCUACUUCUUCACCGAUUGCUUGCAGUUGCUACGAAUCACCAAAACAAUAGUGAAAAGUUGCUCAGAAAUGAGAUUUUUCAUGUGCUACAAGAUGUCAAUCAAAGUGUGUCUCUUUAUGCCCAAUUGUUUUUGAUGUCAAAUCAAGGGAACAAAGUAGUAGUAUAACACAACCUUAAACCUUUUGUAUGGGAGCAGGUAGUAUAUAUAAGUGAACUACAUUGGCACAAUAUGUGUUCAGAAAAUUGUUUGUUCUCUCAAAACCGUCAAAGAACGUUUACUCGGCAAAAGCAAAACAGCAUACCUCGUAUGACAUAUUAUCCGGAUCGACAUUAUCUUCUGUCGCCACCUGCAUAUGCAGAUUGUCAUCAACUCAUCAUUCCGUGACCCCUUCAAAAAAUUCAGUGCACACAUUUGGAAUCCCUUUCCAAGGAAUGUGCUGAUGAUCCCAAUGAGGCAACCAAAGGAAACAAAAGAGUAGAGAAGCAACAAACCUGAGCUGCAUUAUUGGCAGGCCUAUACUCAACAGCUGGUGAUGAUGGUUCCAAGGACACGCUGCCUAAAAACAAUGCACCAUCAACAUGUAGCACGCGUGAGCAUCAGUUGAUUACAGCUAAUGAAUCCACCUCAAACAACGCAAAAGAUGCUCGGAGAUUGGGAGUAGUAGCACCACUAUAUUAUUACCGGCAAAUUCCCUUGUAGCGAGCGAAUCCUCCUCCUCCUGCAGUUGCUUAGCCAAAGCCUCGUCCGAUUCGCACCAGGCCUCGAUCUUGUGGGUCUCCGAGGAGAGAUGGACGGCGUAGGUAUUCGGAGCUGCCAUUGCUGAACCGUGACGCUCCCCUGCAGCAAUUUGCAGCUGAUGAACACUGUGAUUAAUCAAUCAAUGCAACACUGCAGAUAGAAACCCUGUUCUGAUUAUCAAUUUAUCAUCUUAACUGAAGGAGCAUUCAGAAUUGCGUUCCGACUAAAUUACUAUAGAAGCUGAUGAUUGCAGUGCAUUAUUCCUCCUUGUAUUUCUAGACUGACUAAGAACAAAUUUUCAUCAAUUACUGGUGCUCUGGAAGAAAUAGAACAGCACACUCUCCAAAUAAAUACAGCUAAAUUAUACUACACUUGAAAAGAUCAGGCAGGGCUUUUCUAAAACCUAAAAGAGCUCGAAUUUCUAAAGAAGAAGAAGAAGAAGAAGAAGAAAAUCCAAUCUUGAUAUUCUUCUUAUCAUCGCCGAAUAGGCAGACGACAUGUUGGACACGCCGCUCCAAGAAGAAAAAGGGAAAAGGGGGGCAGAAUCGCAGAGUAUAUCCGGGCAAUCUUCGGCUGGCCGGAGAAGGGGAGGAAAGGGAUGGAGAGAGAGAGGCGAUUGCCCCCGAUCAAGCGCGCGCAAUUCACCCAACAAAUCUCGGAGGAACCCGACGGGGGUCGAGGAAUCGAUGUGUACCUUCCUCUGGAGAUGAGCGCAAGAACAGAGUGACGGCGCCGCCUCUGCCGCCCAGCCUCCGCCCCCUCCGCCUUCCCUGUCUCUCUCACCCGAGCCAGCCGUGCGCUGUUGCGCUACGGGCGAAAGCUUUAUGCUACCGACGUGGUCGCGGUUGCUCCGAAGUCAAAGUGAUGGAGACUACCUACUGGCUACUGGUAUGUAUGCUGCCCCCUUCUAUUCUCUUCUUUUUUGGCUUGUCUUGAUUUGCAUUCCCUCCUUCCUUUGUGUCCCUUGCUCUUGCCUUGGCUUUUCAUUCUUGUUUCCAUUCAAUCGAAUUGCAGUUGCCAGAUUUUUGUUGAGGGUAAACUUGAUUUCCAUAAUAAUCCGACAAAAUGACGUGGCGCAAAUAGAACGUAAGAUUACAAUGUCAUAUCCAUAUGGAUUAUGUAUGGUUGAAUCUACUACCAAGAAAAAAAUGCCGGUGAGAUAGGAUGAUCUCUGGUGAAUGCCCGAGUCAUGGUUCGAGAUGCAACGCUUGCGUGAGCACUUAUGUUUCCUUUCGAGUAAUAUAUCCUUUCGAGUAAGUUGUAAAAGCAAUUAUAACAUAGUCAUCAUAUCACGUGGAUAGCCAUAAUAACCGCCGGAUGAUGGUCGCAAGUCAAAAUGGGCGGUCUAGCAGAGUCGUUGUCGGCAUAAUAAAAACCGAACCGACAGAUGGAGCCCAAAUGCCCCGUCCAUAUACGGAAAAGGCACAUCGGAAUUUCAUUCCCCUAAAGAAUACUACAACAUCCAGAAGGAUAUUAUUCCAGUACAUACCCAUGGCCGCGUACAGAUCCUUGUGAAGACUUGCCCUAAGUAAAUCCCACCCCGGUUAAACUGAGUCCAAAAACAUCAGCCGUGACGCCCAGAGUGAGUGAUCGGUGUCCUGAGCAUCGGCACCAUGUGUCGUGUAUGCGAACGGAUCCCAUGGCCAUGGUGUGCCACAUCCCCGACUGUGCAUUUAAUGCGGGUAUAAUGACAGAUGGGACCCACAUGACAUGACAGACUGUCGGGUGCACUUGAGUACCUAACGACUACAUCACCAGGUUAUCCCCUGCAAAACCGAAGACAAAGAAGACUAUGCAAGGCGGGCGCUCACCAUUCUUUGUAAUGUCCAGACGUACAAGUGUGCCAUUGUGGUACCCCGGGCCUAUAUAAGGGGAGGGUCAUGGCCAUUUAUAGAGGAUCGAACAAGAAAGCCACAUCACAAGCAACACGAGAUCCAAGAUCACUAGCUAGAGGAGAUAGGAAGAAGAACUGGUGCUCAGGCAACAUGAGUCUAUACCCCGAGCGCCCCAUUUAGCCACCAUGAGCACCGUAUUGCAUCUCAUAUACAUAUCAAGCCAACCAAGAACAGGAGUAGGGUGUUACGCUAUCGCUAGCAGUCUAAACCUGUAGAAAUCUUUGUGUCUCUCUUAUAGCUUACUCGAAGAAACACAGAGCAUUUUAUCACUUGGCCGAACACACAAAAACAAAGUAUCCUCAAUCCCGGACGUCUUGAGUAUACACUCCGACAGUCGCCCCAUACGCCCCCAGCUUACAUAAUCUAUGGAGGCCACUCCAAAUCGAGCCCUCUAGCCUCUAUAUUUGAAGGCUAGGUUCGUUGACAUGGAACAGCCUCCAAAAGUAACCUCUGGCGCAGGGGGAAGUUUCAGCCCAGCCUCUUCCUCCCGCCCGGAGCCCGGUCAUUGGUGCUUUCGUAUGCUUGGCGCUUCCACCCUUACUAAUGACGCGACCAUUUUCCCAUCGGGACGAGCGUCAAUAAAUGGCCACCACCUUGUUUCACACUCGUUUUCCACCCCCGUGCAUGUCAAAUAUGGCUUUGUUUCCCGCCGAAGCACGCCCAUUCGCAGGUAUAUAAAACGGACCACUUCACUCGACGACGCCACUCAACCAUCUGCCAUCUUUGACAACACCGGUCUGCCCCUCUAUAUUCCCCUUCCACGACGUCGUCACACUCAUCCCCAUCUACCAUAUCAUGGCAGUUGCGCCCUCUUUUGGACUUUUCCCUGGCGAGACCGAAGAGGACUAGAUCAAAGAGAGUCCUGUGAGUGGGCGUGUAACUACUCCCAAUGGGUCGAGGAGGACACAUCCAUAAGGUUGAAUCAGCUGUCGGUUUGGGGCGCCUCCCCGCCGCUCUCUGCUACUUUGUCUGAAUGUUAGCAGCCUGAUAACCCACAAGUAUAGGGGAUCGCAACAGUUUUCGAGGGUAGAGUAUUCAACCCAAAUUUAUUGAUUCGGCACAAUGGGAGCCAAAGAAUAUUCUCAAGUAUUAGCAGCUGAGUUGUCAAUUCAACCACACCUGGAAACGUAAUAUCUACAGCAAGGUAUUUAGUAGCAAAAUAAUAUGAUAGUAGUGGUAACGAUAACAGAAGUAACGGUAGCAAAAGUAAUAUUUUUGGUGUUUUAUAGUGAUUGUAACAAUAGCAACAGAAAAGUAAAUAAGCGAAGAGCAAUAUAUGGAAAUCUCAUAGGCAAUGGAUCGGUGAUAGAUAAUUAUGUCGGAUGUGAUCGAUCAUGUAAUAGUCAUAACCUAGGGUGACACAGAACUAGCUCUAGUUCAUCAAUAUAAUGUAGGCAUGUAUUCCGAAUAUAGUCAUACGUUCUUAUGGAAAAGAACUUGCAUGACAUCUUUUGUCCUACCCUCCCAUGGCAGCGGGGUCCUAUUGGAAACUAGGGGAUAUUAAGGCCUCCUUUUAAUAGAGUAUCAGACCAAAGCAUUAACACAUAGUGAAUAUAUGAACUCCUCAAACUACGGUCAUCACUGGGAGUGGUCCCGACUACUGUCACUUCGGGCUUGCCGGAUCAUAACACAUAGUAGGUGACUAUAGACUUGCAAGAUAGGAUCAAGAACUCUCAUAUAUUGAUGAAAACAUAAUAGGUUCAGAUCUUAAAUUAUGGCACUCGGGCCCUAGUGAAAAGCAUUAAGCAUAGCAAAUGCAUAGCAACAUCAAUCUCAGAACAUAGUGGAUACUAGGGAUCAAACCGUAACAAAACUAACUCGAUUACAUGAUAAAUCUCAUCCAACCCAUCACCGUCCAGCAAGCCUACGAUGGAAUUACUCACGCACGGCGGUGAGCAUCAUGAAAUUGGUGAUGGAGGAAGGUUGAUGAUGACGAUGGCGACGGAUUCCCCUCUCUGGAGCCUCGAACGGACUCCAGAUCAGCCCUCUCGAGAGAGUUUAGGGCUUGGCGGCGGCUCCGUAUCGUAAAACGCGAUGAAUCCUUCUCUCUGGUUUUUUCUCCCUGAAAGUGAAUAUAUGGAGUCAAGGUUGAGUUCGGUGGAGCGUCAGGGGGCCCACGAGGCAGGGGGCAGGCGCCCCCCCACCCUCGUGGACAGGUGGAGCCCCCCUAACGUGGAUUCUUCUUCCAGUAUUUUUUAUAUAUUCCAAAAUAAUUCUCCGUUGAUUCUCAGGUCAUUCCGAGAACUUUUAUUUCUGCACAAAAAUAACACCAUGACAAUUCUGCUGAAAACAGCGUCAGUCCGGGUUAGUUCCAUUCAAAUCAUGCAAGUUAGAGUCCAAAACAAGGGCAAAAGUGUUUAGAAAAGUAGAUACGAUGGAGACGUAUCACAACCACCUUGGCAGAAAUGGACGUUGCGCUCAUGCUUGGCUUAAAAAAUAUGACCGCGUAUGUGUCCAUCAACCACAUGUUGCGAAAGUCGCCACAGCCGAAGCCUCCCCGCCAGUGAGGUCACUUCCAAAUGGAGGAAGAGCCCACAGUCCAAAUUAUAGAAAAGAAUAGUAGUUUAAAUGGUUGUUCAAAUCUUUGUCAUUGUUGUUGGAUUCAAUGUUGAUCCAUCAGAAACAACGUCCAUUGUUGAGAUGAGGUAGCAAGAGGUCUUAUAUCCAAUGGCAAACAUGUCUCACAUGGAUUUUUUUUAAGUUGAUUUAUGUAGAUUUUGCAUUUAUGCAUCACCUCGGCAGUCUGUAUAGUAUUAUGAAACACACUCCAAUACGUGUGAUUGAGGAUGCGAACAUAGUGACUCUACUAGAGUUGCUCUUGCUCCAAUACUUUUUUGAAAGGAGGCAAAAGACUUGCCUCAUUCAUUAAUUAAGAGGGGGAAAAGGAGUUUAAAGUUUGUGUUACAACACCACUACAACAGGCCUACUCUCACGGCAUUAUAGAUCCCAAUUUCUUUGCACCCGCGGUGACCCAAGUUUGAGCCUCAAUCUUGAUGUUAGCUAGUAGAACCGUCGGUGGGGCACUCUUGAGUUGGAAGAUGCGAGCGCUCCUUUCAUUCCAGAUUGUCCAAGAGGUGAGCAUAGAGAGGGUAGCCAUGGCCUUCCUAUUAGGUAUGGUAGAGUCGUGAGCCCGAUCCACCACUCUUUGGUUGACCGUGCCAAGUGCCAAGUGGAAGUGUUGAUGCUUUCGAGCUGGAGCCAAUCUUUUAUCAUUUACUAAAGUCUAGUAGUGUACCGACAUUUGAAGAGGAGGUGAUCGAUGGACUCUUGCAUGAGCUUGCAAAAAGGACAAAGCCCACAAUUGGGCCACCCCCGGUUGGCCAACCAGUCAGCAGUCCAUACCCUAUUUUUGCAUGGACAACCAUGCGAAAAAUUUGACCUUGGGCAGGGCCCAGGCCUUCCACACUGCAAGCUCCAUGGGUGAGCGGAUGUUCCCAAAAAACUGGGCCAAGUAGGCGGACUCGGCACUGUAAAUCCCGCUCUUUGUGUGUUUCCACACAAUGUCGUCUUCGGCGUGAACCUCAAGAGGGAAGUCGCGGAUGGUGGACCAAAGCUCAAUAAAUUGUCGAAGAUGUUUGGAGGUGAAGUUGGGAGUGACCUUGAUCUUGCGAAUCCAAGCAUCAUCUUGGAGGGCUUCCCGAAGUUUCCAUGUCUUCCGAGAGGAAGCGGCGUAGAUAAGCGGUGUGAUGUCUCUUGGCUUGCGGUCCCGCACCCAAGGGGAGUCCCAGAAGGGCGUGCGCUCACCGUUGCCAAUGGUUAUGGUCGUUGAAGCAUAGAAAAGAUUUUUGUCCAUCUCAUCGCAUGGAUUGCUGAUCCCAACCCAUAGCUUGGUGAGUUCCUUCCAUUCAAACCAAAGCCAACAUAAGCGAAGUGCCCUUGCAAAUUUCUCUGUGUUUAGCACCCCAAGACCUCCAUAUUCGACCGGUCGACAUACAGAUUCCUAAUUAACUUUGCACUUCAUGCCGGUAGUCUUAUCUGUUCCCGCCCAAAGGAAAGCUCUCUCAAGCUUGUUGACAUUGUGGAGGAUGCUUGGUGGAACGAUCAAUGGGGUGAUGAAGUAGAUGGCUUGUGAGGAUAGCACAGACUUGACAAGGGCAGCCCGACCAAUGGUUGUGAUAUUUUUCCCAUCCCAAGGAACAAGUUUGGAAUUGUCCACAAGGAAUUGGAAAUCCUGAAUUUUUAGUUGCCAGACUGAGAGAGGUAGCCCUAGAUAUUUUAUUGGGAAUGAAGCCCAGGCAGCAGGAAAAUUCUGGAGGAUGGUGUCGAGGUGUAGGUGCCUGCACCGAAUCGGGACCAUCGAGCUCUUUUGGAAGUUAGUGCAUAGUCCCGUGAUGUCACCAAACGCAUCGAGCAACACAGAGAGGUUGUCAAUAUCUUUCUUGAUGGGUGCAAUGAAAACGACCGCGUCAUCAGCAUAGAGGGGUGUUCUCAUGAUGGGCCCACGCCCAUGGAUUUUGUGGAGCAACCCCUUCCUAGUAGCCAGCCCGAGGAUCUUUUGAAGGGGAUCAAUGGCAAUGACAAAUAGUAGGGGCGAAAGAGGAUCCCCUUGCCGGAAGCCGCUUCCAUGGGCAAUGGGGCUGCCGGGGAUGCCGUUGAGGAGAACUCGCAAGGAGGAGGUGCAUAAGAGGGCAGUGAUCCAAUUCCGAAAGGUGCUCGGGAACCCCCUCUAUUGGAGGAUGUCAAUGAUAUACUCCCAUCUCACAGAGUCAAAAGCCUUUCGCAUAUCAAGCUUGAAAAGGAGGGAUCGAGUUUGCUCUUGUGAAGGCAACACGCGAGAUUUUUCACAUACAUGAAAUUGUCAUGGAUACUCCUAGUCUUGACAAAAGCACUUUGCGUGUUGGAGACAAGCUUGUUCAUGUGAGGGGCUAGCCGAAUUGGUAAAUUUUUUGCCACAAUCUUUGCAAUCGCGUGGAUGAGGCUAAUAGGCCGGAAGUCAGUGAUCCCCUCAGCACCCUCCUUCUUAGGAAUUAGUACAAUGUUUGCAGAGUUAAACCAGUGGAGGUUUGCCGUGUGCAGGUUUCCAAAAAGAGAGACUACCCUCAUGAUGUCAUCCUUGAUAAUGUCCCAACAACUCUUGAAGAACAAACAUGUGAAACGGUCUGGCCCGGGGGCUUUGUCGGUUGGCAUUUGCUUAAUGGCCUCGUGCACCUCCUCCGCGGUGAUGGGGUCCGCGAGGGAGUCCAAGUCGUGUACCUCUAAGCCGAGCUCUUCCCAAUUGAAGUCAUGAUACUUCCAUUUUGCAUCAUACUUUUAUAUCAAUAUUUAUUGCAUUAUGGGCUGUUAACACAUUAUGUCACAAUACUUAUGCCUAUUCUGUCUUAUUUUACAAGGUUUCCAUAAAGAGGGAGAAUGCCGGCAGCUGGGAUUCUGGGCUGGAAAAGGAGCAAAUAUUAGAUACCUAUUCUGCACAGCUCCAAAAGUCCUGAAACUUCACAGAAGACGUUUUCCAAAUAUAUAAAAAAUACUUAGAGCAAGAACUUCACCAGGGGGCCACACCCUGCCCACGAGGGUGGGGCGCGCCCUACCCCCCUGGGCGUGCCCCCUACCUCGUGGGCCCCCUGUUGGCCCUCCGGUGGCCAUCUUCUGCUAUAUGAAGUCUUUCGAUGGGAAAAAAUCAUAAGCCAUCUUCUCGGACGAAACUCCGCCGCCACGAGGCGGAACCUUGGCGGAACCAAUCUAGGGCUCUAGCAGAGCUGUUCUGCCGGGGAAACUUCCCUCCCGGAGGGGAAAUCAUCGCCAUCAUCAUCACCAACGCUCCUCUCAUCGGGAGAGGGAAAUCUCCAUCAACAUCUUCAUCAGCACCAUCUCAUCUCAAAACCCUAGUUCAUAUCUUGUAUCCAAUUCUUGUCUCCAAGUCUGGGAUUGAUGCUAGUAGGUUGCUAGUAGUGUUAAUUACUCCUUGUAGUUGAUGCUAGUUGGUUUAAUUGGUGGAAGAUCAUAUGUUCAGAGCCUAUAUGCAUAUUAAUACCCCUCUGAUUAUGAACAUGUUUAUGCUUUGUGAGUAGUUACUUUUGUUCCUGAGGACAUGGGAGAAGUCUUGCUAUUAGUAGUCAUGUGAAUUUGGUAUUCGUUCGAUAUUUUGAUGAGGUGUAUGUUGUCUCUCCUCUAGUGGUGUUAUGUGAACGUCGACUACAUGACACUUCACCAUUAUUUGGGCCUAGAGGAAGGCAUUGGGAAGUAAUAAGUAGAUGAUGGGUUGCUAGAGUGACAGAAGCUUAAACCAUAGUUUAUGCGUUGCUUCAUAAGGGGCUGAUUUGGAUCCAUAUGUUUCAUGCUAUGGUUAGGUUUACCUUAAUACUUUUGUUGUAGUGGCGGAUGCUUGUAAUAGAGGUUAAUCAUAAGUGGGAUGCUUGUCCAAGUAAGGACAAUACCCAAGCACCGGUCCACCCACAUACCAAAUUAUCAAAGUACCGAACGCGAAUCAUAUGAGCGUGAUGAAAACUAGCUUGACGAUAUUCCCAUGUGUCCUCGGGAGCGCUUUACAUCAUAUAAGAGUUUGUCCAGGCUUGUCCUUUGCUACAAAAAGGAUUGGUGUUGGAAAUAUGCCCUAGAGGCAAUAAUAAAAGUAUUAUUAUAUUUCAUUGUUCAUGAUAAUUGUCUUUUAUUCAUGCUAUAACUGUAUUAUCCGGAAAUCGUAAUACACGUGUGAAUACUUAGACCACACUAUGUCCCUGGUAAGCCUCUAGUUGACCAGCUCGUUGUGAUCAACAGAUAGUCAUGGUUUCCUGACUAUGGACAUUGGAUGUCGUUGAUAACGGGAUCACAUCAUUAGGAGAAUGAUGUGAUGGACAAGACCCAAUCCUAAGCAUAGCAUAAAAGAUCGUGUAGUUCGUUUUGCUAGAGCUUUGCAAGUGUCAAGUAUCUCUUCCUACGACCAUGAGAUCGUGUAACUCCCGGAUACCGUAAGAGUGCCUUGGGUGUAUCAAACGUCACAACGUAACUGGGUGACUAUAAAGGUGCAUUACAGGUAUCUCCGAAAGUAGCUGUUGGGUUGACACGGAUCGAGACUGGGAUUUGUCACUCCGUAUGACGGAGAGGUAUCUCUGGGCCCACUCGGUAAUGCAUCAUCAUAAUGAGCUCAAUGUGACCAAGCUGUUGGACACGGGAUCAUGCAUUACGGUACGAGUAAAGUGACUUGCCGGUAACGAGACUGAACAAGGUAUUGGGAUACCGACGAUCGAGUCUCGGGCAAGUAACGUACCGAUUGACAAAGGGAAUUGAAUACAGGGUUUGAUCGAAUCCUCGACAUCGUGGUUCAUCCGAUGACAACAUCGAGGAGCAUGUGGGAGCCAUCAUGGGUAUCCAGAUCCCGCUGAUGGUUAUUGACUGAGAGCGUCUCGGUCAUGUCUGCAUGUCUCCCGAACCCGUAGGGUCUACACACUUAAGGUUCGGUGACGCUAGGGUUAUGAAGAUAUGUAUAUGCAGAAACCCGAAUGUUGUUCGGAGUCCCGGAUGAGAUCCCGGACGUCACGAGGAGUUCCGGAAUGGUCCGGAGGUAAAGAAUUAUAUAUAGGAAGUGCUGUUUCGGGCACCGGGACAAGUUUCGGGGUUAUCGGUAUUGUACCGGGACCACCGGAAGGGUCCCGGGGGUCCACCGGGUGGGGCCACCUGUCCCGGGGGGCCACAUGGGCUGUAGGGGGUGCGCCUUGGCCAUCAUGGGCCAAGGGCACCAGCCCCUAUAGGCCCAUGCACCUAGGGUUUCCCCCUAGGAGGAGUCCUAGUGGUGGAAGGCACCCCUAGGUGCCUUGGGGGGGAGGGAAACCUCCCCUAGGCCGCCGCCCCCCCUAGUAGAUCUCAUCUACUAGGGCCGGCGCCCCCCCUUGGCACCCCUAUAUAUAGUGGGGGGGGGAGAGGAGGAGAACACACCAGCCCCUGGCGCCUCCACCUCCCCCCGUUACGUCUCUCCCUCGUAGUCUCGGCAAAGACCUGCUGCUGUGACGCCCUGCAUCCACCACCACGCCGUCGUGCUGCUGGAUCUUCAUCAACCUCUCCUUCCCCCUUGCUGGAUCAAGAAGGAGGAGACGUCUCCCGUCCCGUACGUGUGUUGAACGCGGAGGUGCCGUCCGUUCGGCGCUGGUCAUCGGUGAUUUGGAUCACGUCGAGUACGACUACAUCAUCACCUUGCAAGCUUCCGCACGCGAUCUACAAGUGGUAUGUAGAUGCAAACUCUCUCCCUAGACUCGUUGCUUAGAUGAACUCAUAGAUGGAUCUUGGUGAAACCGUAGGAAAAAUUUUAAUUUUCUGCAACGUUCCCCAACAGUGGCAUCAUGAGCUAGGUCUAUGCGUAGUUCUCUUUGCACGAGUAGAACACAACUUUGUUGUGGGCGUGGAUUCUGUCAUCUUACUUGCCUCUACUAGUCUUUUCUUGCUCAACGGUAUUGUGGGAUGAAGCGGCCCGGACCAACCUUACACGUACACUUACGUGAGACCGGUUCCACCGACUGACAUGCACAAGUUGCAUAAGGUGGCUGGCGGGUGUCUGUCUCUCCAACCUUAGUUGGAGCGGAAUCGAUGAACAGGGCCCUUAUGAAGGGUAAAUAGAAGUUGACAAAAUCACGUUGUGGUGAUUCGUAGGUAAGAAAACGUUCUUGCUAGAACCCAAUUGCAGCCACGUAAAAGAUGCAACAACAAUUAGAGGACGUCUAACUUGUUUUUGCAGCGAUUGAUCAUGUGAUGUGAUAUGGCCAGAAGUUGUGAUGAAUGAUGAAUUGUGAUGUAUGAGAUCAUGUUCUUUGUAAUAGGAUUCACGACUUGCAUGUCGAUGAGUAUGACAACCGGCAGGAGCCAUAGGAGUUGUCAUUAUUUUUUGUAUGACCUGCAUGUCAUUGAAUAACGUCAUGUAAACUACUUUACUUUAUUGCUAAACGUUAGUCAUAGAAGUAGAAGUAGUCGUUGGCGUGACAACUUCAUGAAGACACGAUGAUGGAGAUCAUGAUGAUGGAGAUCAUGGUGUCAAGCCGGUGACAAGAUGAUCAUGGAGCCCCGAAGAUGAAGAUCAAUGGAGCUAUAUGAUAUUGGCCAUAUCAUGUCACAACUAUAUAAUUGCAUGUGAUGUUUAUUAUGUAUUAUGCAUCUUGUUUACUUAGGACGACGGUAGUAAAUAAGAUGAUCCCUUAUAAAAUUUCAAGAAGUGUUCUCCCCUAACUGUGCACCGUUGCUACAGUUCGUCGUUUCUAAGCACCACAUGAUGAUCGGGUGUGAUGGAUUCUUACGUUCACAUACAACGGGUGUAAGACAGUUUUACACAGCGAAAACACUUAGGGUUAACUUGACGAGCCUAGCAUGUGCAGACAUGGCCUCGGAACACGGAGACCGAAAGGUCGAACACGAAUCGUAUAGAAGAUACGAUCAACAUGAAAAUGUUCACCGACGAUGACUAGUCCGUCUCACGUGAUGAUCGGACACGGGCUAGUCGACUCGGAUCGUGUAACACUUAGAUGACUAAAGGGAUGUCUAAAUCUAAGUGGGAGUUCAUAAUUUGAUUAGAACUUUAUUAUCAUGAACUUAGUCUAAAACCUUUGCAAAUAUGUCUUGUAGAUCAAUGGCCAACGCUAAUGUCAACAUGAACUUCAACGUGUUCCUAGAGAAAACCAAGCUGAAAGAUGAUGGCAGCAACUAUACGGACUGGGUCCGGAACCUGAGGAUCAUCCUCAUAGCUGCCAGGAAACAAUAUGUCCUAGAAGGACCGCUAGGUGACGCUCCCGUCCCAGAGAACCAAGACAUUAUGAAUGCUUGGCAGUCUCGCGCUGAUGAUUACUCCCUCGUUCAGUGCGGCAUGCUUUACAGCUUAGAACCGGGGCUCCAAAAGCGUUUUGAGCAUCACAGAGCAUAUGAGAUGUUCGAAGAGCUGAAACUAGUUUUCCAAGCUCAUGCCCGGGUCGAGAGAUAUGAUGUCUCCGACAAGUUCUACAGUUGUAAGAUGGAGGAAAACAGUUCUGUCAGUGAGCACAUCCUGAAGAUGUCUGGGUUGCACAACCAUAUGACCCAGCUGAACAUUAACCUCCCAGAUGAGGCGGUCAUUGACAGAAUCCUCCAGUCGCUCCCACCAAGCUACAAGAGCUUUGUGAUGAACUACAACAUGCAGGGGAUGGAAAAGACCAUUCCUGAAGUGUUCUCGAUGCUGAAGUCAGCAGAGGCUGAAAUCAAGAAAGAACAUCAAGUGUUGAUGGUCAAUAAGACCACUAAGUUCAAGAAGGGCAAGGGUAAGAAGAACUUCAAGAAGAACGGCAAAGAUGUUGCCGCGCCUGGUAAGCCAGUUACCGGGAAGAAGUCAAAGAAUGGACCCAAGCCUGAGACUGAGUGCUUUUAUUGCAAGGGGAAGGGUCACUGGAAGCGGAACUGCCCCAAAUACUUAGCGGAUAAGAAGGCCGGCAACACCAAAGGUAUAUUUGAUAUACAUGUGAUUGAUGUGUACCUUACCAGUAAUCGUAGUAACUCCUGGGUAUUUGAUACCGGUGCCGUUGCUCAUAUUUGUAACUCACAGCAGGAGCUGCGGAAUAAACGGAGACUGGCAAAGGACGAGGUGACGAUGCGCGUCGGGAAUGGUUCCAGAGUCGAUGUGAUCGCCGUCGGCACGCUGCCUCUACAUUUACCUACGGGAUUAGUUUUGAACCUUAAUAAUUGUUAUUUAGUGCCAAGUUUGAGCAUGAACAUUGUAUCAGGAUCUCAUUUAAUACGAGAUGGCUACUCAUUUAAGUCUGAGAAUAAUGGUUGUUCGAUUUAUAUGAGAGAUAUGCUUUAUGGUCAUGCUCCGAUGGUCAAUGGUUUAUUCUUAAUGAAUCUCGAGCAUAAUAUUACACAUGUUCAUAGUGUAGAUGCCAAAAGAUUUAAAGUUGAUAACGAUAGUCCCACAUACUUGUGGCACUGCCGCCUUGGUCACAUUGGUGUCAAGCGCAUGAAGAAGCUCCAUGCCGAUGGACUUUUAGAGUCUCUUGAUUAUGAAUCGUUUGACACAUGCGACCAUGCCUCUUGGGCAAAAUGACCAAGACUCCGUUCUCCGGAACAAUGGAGCGAGCAACCAACUUGUUGGAAAUCAUACAUACCGAUGUGUGCGGUCCAAUGAGCGUUGAGGCUCGCGGAGGAUAUCGUUAUGUUCUCACUCUCACAGAUGACUUGAGUAGAUAUGGGUAUGUCUACUUAAUGAAACACAAGUCUGAGACCUUUGAAAAGUUCAAGGAAUUUCAGAAUGAGGUGGAGAAUCAACGUGACCGAAAGAUAAAAUUCUUACGAUCAGAUCGUGGAGGAGAAUACUUAAGUCACGAAUUUGGUACACACUUAAAGAAAUGUGGAAUCGUUUCACAGCUCACGCCGCCUGGAACACCUCAGCGAAACGGUGUGUCCGAACGUCGUAAUCGCACUCUAUUGGAUAUGGUGCAGUCUAUGAUGUCUCUUACCGAUUUACCGCUAUCAUUUUGGGGAUACGCUCUAGAGACAGCUACAUUCACUUUAAAUAGGGCACCGUCUAAAUCCGUUGAGACGACACCGUAUGAACUAUGGUUUGGAAAGAAACCUAAGCUGUCGUUUCUAAAAGUUUGGGGAUGCGAAGCUUAUGUCAAGAAACUUCAACCUGAAAAGCUCGAACCCAAGUCGGAAAAAUGCGUAUUCAUAGGAUACCCUAAGGAAACUGUAGGGUAUACCUUCUACUUAAGAUCCGAAGGCAAGAUCUUUGUUGCCAAGAACGGAUGCUUUCUGGAAAAAGAGUUUCUCUCGAAAGAAGUAAGUGGGAGGAAAGUAGAACUCGAUGAAGUACUACCUCUUGAGCGGGAUAGUGACGCAGCACAGGAAACCGUUCCUGUGAUGCCCAUACCAACUGAAGAGGAAAACCAUGAUAAUGAUCAAGGUACUUCGGAUCAAGUUACUGCUGAACUUCGUAGGUCCACAAGGACACGUUCCGCACCAGAGUGGUACGGCAACCCUGUCCUGGAAAUCAUGUUGUUAGACAACAAUGAACCUUCGAACUAUGAAGAAGCAAUGGCGGGCCCGGAUUCCAACAAAUGGCUUGAAGCCAUGAAAUCCGAGAUAGAAUCCAUGUAUGAAAACAAAGUAUGGACUUUGACAGACUUGCCCGAUGAUCGGCGAGCGAUAGAAAACAAAUGGAUCUUUAAGAAGAAGACGGACGCGGAUGGUAAUGUUACCAUCUAUAAAGCUCGACUUGUCGCUAAGGGUUAUCGACAAGUUCAAGGGAUUGACUACGACGAGACAUUCUCUCCCGUAGCGAAGCUAAAGUCCGUCCGAAUCAUGUUAGCAAUUGCCGCAUACUAUGAUUAUGAGAUAUGGCAGAUGGACGUCAAAACAGCAUUCCUUAACGGGCAUCUUAAGGAAGAACUGUAUAUGAUGCAGCCGGAAGGUUUUGUCGAUCCUCGGAACGCUAACAAAGUAUGCAAGCUCCAGCGAUCCAUUUAUGGACUGGUGCAAGCAUCUCGGAGUUGGAACAUUCGCUUUGAUGAGAUGAUCAAAGCGUUUGGGUUUAUGCAGACUUAUGGAGAAGCCUGCGUUUACAAGAAAGUGAGUGGGAGCUCUAUAGCAUUUCUCAUAUUAUAUGUAGAUGACAUACUCCUGAUGGGAAAUAAUAUAGAAUUUCUGGACAGCAUUAAGGCCUACUUGAAUAAGUGUCUUUCAAUGAAGGACCUUGGAGAAGCUGCUUAUAUAUUAGGCAUCAAGAUCUAUAGAGAUAGAUCGAGACGCCUCAUAGGUCUUUCACAAAGCACAUACCUUGAUAAGAUUUUGAAGAGAUUCAGAAUGGAUCAGUCCAAGAAGGGGUUCUUGCCUAUGUUACAAGGUAUGAGACUGAGCUCAGCUCAGUCACCGACCACGGCAAAAGAUAAAGAAGAGAUGAGUGUCAUCCCCUAUGCUUCAGCCAUAGGAUCUAUUAUGUAUGUCAUGCUGUGUACCAGACCCGAUGUAAACCUUGCCGUAAGUUUGGUAGCAAGAUACCAAAGUAAUCCCGGCAAGGAACACUGGACAGCGGUCAAGAAUAUCCUGAAGUACCUGAAAAGGACAAAGGACAUGUUUCUCGUUUAUGGAGGAGACGAAGAGCUCGUCGUAAAGGGUUACGUCGACGCUAGCUUCGACUCAGAUCUGGAUGACUCUAAAUCACAAACCGGAUACGUGUAUAUGUUGAAUGGUGGAGCAGUAAGCUGGUGCAGCUGCAAGCAGAGCGUCGUGGCGGGAUCUACGUGUGAAGCGGAGUACAUGGCAGCCUCGGAGGCAGCACAUGAAGCGAUUUGGGUGAAGGAGUUCAUCACCGACCUAGGAGUCAUACCCAAUGCGUCGGGGCCGAUCAAACUCUUCUGUGACAACACUGGAGCUAUUGCCCUCACAAAGGAGCCCAGGUUUCACAAGAAGACCAGGCACAUCAAGCGUCGUUUCAACUCCAUCCGUGAAAAUGUUCAAGAUGGAGACAUAGAGAUUUGCAAAGUGCACACGGAUCUGAAUGUCGCAGAUCCGCUGACUAAACCUCUCUCGCGUGCAAAACAUGAUCAACACCAGAACUCUAUGGGUGUUCGAUUCAUCACAAUGUAACUAGAUUAGUGACUCUAGUGCAAGUGGGAGACUAUUGGAAAUAUGCCCUAGAGGCAAUAAUAAAAGUAUUAUUAUAUUUCAUUGUUCAUGAUAAUUGUCUUUUAUUCAUGCUAUAACUGUAUUAUCCGGAAAUCGUAAUACACGUGUGAAUACUUAGACCACACAAUGUCCCUGGUAAGCCUCUAGUUGACCAGCUCGUUGUGAUCAACAGAUAGUCAUGGUUUCCUGACUAUGGACAUUGGAUGUCGUUGAUAACGGGAUCACAUCAUUAGGAGAAUGAUGUGAUGGACAAGACCCAAUCCUAAGCAUAGCAUAAAAGAUCGUGUAGUUCGUUUUGCUAGAGCUUUGCAAGUGUCAAGUAUCUCUUCCUACGACCAUGAGAUCGUGUAACUCCCGGAUACCGUAAGAGUGCCUUGGGUGUAUCAAACGUCACAACGUAACUGGGUGACUAUAAAGGUGCAUUACAGGUAUCUCCGAAAGUAGCUGUUGGGUUGACACGGAUCGAGACUGGGAUUUGUCACUCCGUAUGACGGAGAGGUAUCUCUGGGCCCACUCGGUAAUGCAUCAUCAUAAUGAGCUCAAUGUGACCAAGGUGUUGGACAUGGGAUCAUGCAUUACGGUAUGAGUAAAGUGACUUGCCGGUAACGAGACUGAACAAGGUAUUGGGAUACCGACGAUCGAGUCUCGGGCAAGUAACGUACCGAUUGACAAAGGGAAUUGAAUACAGGGUUUGAUCGAAUCCUCGACAUCGUGGUUCAUCCGAUGACAACAUCGAGGAGCAUGUGGGAGCCAUCAUGGGUAUCUAGAUCCCGCUGAUGGUUAUUGACUGAGAGCGUCUCGGUCAUGUCUGCAUGUCUCCCGAACCCGUAGGGUCUACACACUUAAGGUUCGGUGACGCUAGGGUUAUGAAGAUAUGUAUAUGCAGAAACCCGAAUGUUGUUCGGAGUCCCGGAUGAGAUCCCGGACGUCACGAGGAGUUCCGGAAUGGUCCGGAGGUAAAGAAUUAUAUAUAGGAAGUGCUGUUUCGGGCACCGGGACAAGUUUCGGGGUUAUCGGUAUUGUACCGGGACCACCGGAAGGGUCCCGGGGGUCCACCGGGUGGGGCCACCUGUCCCGGGGGGCCACAUGGGCUGUAGGGGGUGCGCCUUGGCCAUCAUGGGCCAAGGGCACCAGCCCCUAUAGGCCCAUGCGCCUAGGGUUUCCCCCUAGGAGGAGUCCUAGUGGUGGAAGGCACCCCUAGGUGCCUUGGGGGGGAGGGAAACCUCCCCUAGGCCGCCGCCCCCCCUAGUAGAUCUCAUCUACUAGGGCCGGCGCCCCCCCUUGGCACCCCUAUAUAUAGUGGGGGGGAGAGGAGGAGAACACACCAGCCCCUGGCGCCUCCACCUCCCCCCGUUACGUCUCUCCCUCGUAGUCUCGGCGAAGCCCUGCUGCUGUGACGCCCUGCAUCCACCACCACGCCGUCGUGCUGCUGGAUCUUCAUCAACCUCUCCUUCCCCCUUGCUGGAUCAAGAAGGAGGAGACGUCUCCCGUCCCGUACGUGUGUUGAACGCGGAGGUGCCGUCCGUUCGGCGCUGGUCAUCGGUGAUUUGGAUCACGUCGAGUACGACUACAUCAUCACCUUGCAAGCUUCCGCACGCGAUCUACAAGUGGUAUGUAGAUGCAAACUCUCUCCCUAGACUCGUUGCUUAGAUGAACUCAUAGAUGGAUCUUGGUGAAACCGUAGGAAAAAUUUUAAUUUUCUGCAACGUUCCCCAACAAUUGGGCCACCUUGCUGCACCUUAUUUACUUUUGUUACUUGUUGCUUGUUACAAAUUAUUUAUCACAAAACAAUCUGUUACCACUUAUAUCAGUACUUGCAGAGAAUACCUUGCUGGAAACAGCUUAUCAUUUCCUUCUGUUCCUCGUUGGGUUCGACACUCUUACUUAUCGAAAGGACUACGAUAGUUCCCCUAUACUUGUAGGUCAUCAAGACUCUUUUCUGGUGUCAUUGCUGGGGAGUGAAGCGCCUUUGGUAGGUGGAAUUUGGUAAGGAAAAAUUUAUAUAGUGUGCUAAAAUUUACUGUCACUUGUUACAAUGGAAGGUAAUCCUCUGAGGGGCUUGUUCGGGGUAUCUUCACCCCGACCAGUAGAGAAAAGAGUUGCUCCUCAACCUACUAAACCUACUGAAAAUGAAAAUGAAAAUGCUUGCUUUGAAGUUCCUUCGGGUAUGAUAGAAAAACUGCUAGCUAAUCCUUUUCUAGGAGAUGGAACAAAACAUCCUGAUGAACAUCUGAUAUAUGUGGAUGAAGUUUGUGGAUUAUUUAAGCUCGCAGGUGUACCCGGAGAUGUUGUUAAGAAGAAGGUCUUCCCCUUAUCUUUGAGGGGAAAUGCGUCGACAUGGUAUAAGCUAUGUGAUGAUAUGAGGUCUUGUGUAACGACCCGACCCAAAAUCGGUCAAGUCUUUGUGUAGCUGUACCAUCCCAAGAUCAUGCUGGCACACAUAGUACCUUGAUGAAAAGAUUCAAAGUUCAAUCACACCUGAAUUUAUUACACGAUUCUCAUAUCGAGUCUUUAUUACAUCAUAAUAGAUUCGGCCGAAGGCCAACUCAUGAGAAAUAAAUUAAAUAAAGCUGCGGAAGCGUAGACGAAUAAGCGAGUCCAUCCAACUCCAUAGGGUAAUCACCGAGCAUAGAUCGUAGCCUCACUCCUAGUCGGAAAACUCCUCUACAACAUGAGACGUUGCAGCCAUGUAGGUCAGCAUUUUGAAUAUGCCGGCAAGUCAUAGAGAGAAACAACAAUAAUAAUGCUAACACUAUAUGCAAUUUGGCUGUGGGGCUCUAAGUUUUAUGUUUUUGCGAGAAAGCCAAUUUUUUCCUACAACAAAAGACUUGCUUACAAUUACUACAAAAUGUUGGCAGUUAUUGAGAUGGUUCCGCCAACUAAUGUCUCAUUCCCAAUUAUUAAUUAACCCCCAAUUAAUUUAUUUGUUCGGUGUUGAGAUUUCUGAAAUACUCUAGUUUCCAGAGGCUCAUUUGUCCGUAACCGGGGACACGGCUAAUUGAUUAGGUUGUUCCUCUGCAGAGUCUUGUGCACUUUACCCACAAGAAUCGUUCCCUCCUUUAUGUCCUCGCACUACCUGGUGUUUGAAGACGGGAUAAACGAAACAGGGUCUUCCGUAGAGUUUCUCUGGGCACUGCCGGUGCCCAUCCAUGUCCUACCGUUCUUCUACAUCUGCUGGCACCAUCCGUCCAGAGUCACGCCUAAGGUCAACCCAGCCAGAGCCCAUAAUGGCUUGCGGCUGCACAGGUAAGCUUCCGGUCAAGGGGUAUCCAUUCGUCUCUUCGUGGCUGGGUGAAGCUUUCCGCAAGAUGUCAUGGCGCUUCUCCAUGCAUCUCGGCCAUCCGCUAGUUCCUCCAAGGUGCCCGUCAACCAUACUCCACCCAGUAGUGAAUUUGAAGUCCAUCUUGAGCUUGGAGUCAUGGGGUUGUCAUCAUCUUGACUCUCACAUCUCCCUUAUGAAUCUCUCAACCAACCCCGUCUACGAGCAUAGCAAGAUAAACUACAUCGUCCCGGGCAAUAGUAGCAAGGGGAACCGGGUUCAUCCUACCUCAUGAUACUACUCAAGACAUAACUUAAAAUUCUCCUACUGCAUGCAUGGUGGGGAGGAAAAAUUCUAAUGCAACAAAAUCAUAGGUACUGUAAAACAUGAUCAAAUGACUUGCCUGGCUGACGGUCUUCAAACGCUAGUGACUCGAGAUAGCAAGCUUCGCACUCCGGAAAUUCUAUCGAGUCAAACAAUAGCACAAAUAAGUAUUACACUAAAUAGCAUAACAGCAAGCUAAAGGAAAUCACACAAGCACUCAAACCAAAACCAAAGAAAACUCGAGGAAAACAAAAUCAAGGUUUUCAUCACUUCAAGCAACAACUAAGAAAUAGUUUUAUCCUACUAACACUUUUCUUAACAUAACCAAAACAAGGGUUUUGCUAACUAACAUAAAGGACAACAUCAUAUAAACUAGGUGCAAAAAGAAUCACAUCAAUAUCUAUUAUAGAACUCCUGUUAUAACUAAAACAAAACUAAUAAGAAAAUAAAAUAAAAAUUUUAUUUUGCUGUAAAUAAAUGUUCACCCUGUGUAACUACAGAAACUAAUCUAAAAUAAAUUAUAACAGGGGUAAAUUAAAAUUCUAUAAUAACUAGAACAGCAGAAAGCAGCAACAAGCUAAAUAAAACUAGAAAAACUUGAUUUCGACUAAAACAAAUUUUAAUACAAUCUACAAAUACCCCAACAAGUUCCUAAUGCUAGGCUAGGUCAAAACUAAGUAGUGGCAAAAAGAAUCACCUAGAAAUAUUAAUUCUAGCUCAAAUUAUAGUAGAAAUACUAAUCUAACUAAAACUAAUAUAAAACUAUUUUUAUAAGCUUAAACAUGGCCAAAUCUAUUUUCUACAGAAACUAUAGGAAAUUUGUAAACUAACAAAAAAAGAAUCAACUAAAAAUAUUAAACAACCCAAAAGAUAUAGACUUUACAAGAACAGAACUAUUCUAUUCUAAAAACAGAAACUAAAAAUAACUAAAAAAACAAGCGCUACUGAGCCUAUCUAACGCUCAGGCGAACACUAACUAAAAUGCGCCCGCGGCUAAACAGAAAUAAACCGUGCAGCCGGUCUAACAAAACCGCAACUUAAAAUAAACCAACCUAACCGGAAAAAAACCCGAAACUAAACCAAUUUACUAAAAAACAAACUCUUCGUGUGAUCUAAUCUAGGCCAUGGAUAGCAGAUCGGACGGCGGGGAGCGGCUCCGGCGACUCACCACGGUUGCGACAAUGGUGACAGGCGACGGCGGCUCGGGCGUGGAUGGCGCGGCGGCUCCGGGGGCCGGGAAGGUCGGCGAAGAUGUCGGGGUGAGGCGGCGGAGUGUUGCGGAGGCGGUGGUGAUGUCGAGGUGGCUCGGGGACGACGGAAACGGCCGGGGCACCGACGACGGGGUCCUGGUGAGCUGCAGCUCCGGCGAAGAGCGGUGGUGCUCGGGCGGCUUCCUGUAGGCGUCGAGGAAGAUCAAAAAGAUGUCAGGGGGUUGUGGGAGGAUGACGCGGUUCGCGGGGUGGAGCUUGGAGUCAAGGGGGGUGCUCACCGGUGUCAGAAGCGGUGGCGAACCGAGGCAGCGACGGCGAGAUGCGUUUGGCGACGGCGGUGGCUGUGGUGGGCUUUGGGAGUAGGGUUUUAGGGGGAUCGAGAGAGGAAGGGCGUAGGUAUUUAUAGGACAUCAACUUGGAGCAGGGGGCGACUCGGGAUCGUGUAACAUCCCAAAUUUUCAAUUUGGAAGGUUAUACAUUAGAUCAUCAAUGCAUACCAUAUUUUAUUUUGCAUUUUGGUUGAUCCUAAAAAUUCUACGCAACUCAAGGACCCGCGGAGAGAGUUGGGGAUUUCGUUAUUUUCAUAUUUGAGUUCUCUCAAAUUUUGAGAAUAGGAUCAUUUGAUUUUAUUUAUUUUAUCAUCAAUUAUUUCUAUUACAAAAAUGUGAGAGAGGGAAUAAAAUGACUUUCCCAAAAUAAAGAAAUAUUGAGGAUUUAAUAAUAAAAUCAAAUAAGAUUUUAUUUCGGAGUUUUUCGGUGUUUUAUUUGAAUUUAGGAAAAAAGUGCGUUUUUCAAAAUUGCAUUUAGGGCCCAAAUAAAUGUUCACCUUGUGCGGCUUGAUUUUAGAAGCCCGUGAAAAUUUAUUUCAGAAUUUUUGGAGUCCGUUUAGUAUUUCUUUUUAUUUUCCUUCCGAGCAGAAUAAUUAAAAAAACGAACCGACUUCGGGCCGUACCCGAGCGGGACACCGCCCGGGGGCAACCUUUAAAUAGCGCCGCCCCGAGCCGCCCCAGCCCAUCAGUCCCGCCUCGAUCCGGAGUGCGCCGCCUGUUACUUCGAAUCGUUAGGUUUCACGGAUCAUCAGCAAGACAAGUAACACUUUGAUCACACCUUUUCUACUACCCAGUUUUAUUGCAUUAGAUCAAACCUCACACAUUGCAUGAUUAGGAUCUAAUUAAAUUGUGGGAUGGGAAGUAGAUGAGGUAGUACCUAUUACCUGUUUAUUAUCAAACCUUUGGGAGUUACUUCUACGUUUGCUUAUUAUGCCAUGCUAUGCUAGUAGACGUGGAUUGGGUGAGUGAUAUACAUGACAGAUGUGAGUUUUGUUAAGCAAUGGUUUAUCUAAGGUGGCAACUUAAACACACAUCUGGGUGGAUUGAGGCACCUGGGUAUUCCAGGACUUGCCUGUUUUCUUUUGGACCGCCACCCAGGCUCAAAGGGAUCAUGAGACUAUUCAUACUAGAAACUUCCGUGUGCAGCCACAAGCUAUUAUGGGCUCUAGCAUAGUUGACUAAGUUGUGCGAACUCUUACGGUGGUAGACUAGUAGAUGUAGGGGAUGUAGGUGGUACGGUCUACCCGAUCGUAAGGUGCUAGCGCUUCUGAAAGACUAUGUCUUGGUCAUCCGUCUUCUCAAACACCAUGUAGUGCGAGAAACCAAACGGAGGCGAUCGAGUCUUGUGGGGAAAAGUGUGCAAACCUCUGCAGAGUGUAAUAAACUAAUCAUGGUUAGCUGUGUCCCUGGUUAUGGACAUCUUGAGUAUCUAGUACUUGGAUUAUCAUGUGAAUCUCAACAUGUUACUCUAAAUAAAUUUUGUUGGGUUAUGUUUAAUGAUGAUGCUUAAUUGGGAUUGAGGAUGCUGUCAACCAUUCUCAAUGUUUAACAACCACCAUGAUAGUAAUUAAAUUUUAUUCCUUUGAAGUAGGGAAAAAUUGGCUUUACGCAAAACUAUAACCAUAGAGCUUUCCACCAGCCAAAUAUGCAUAUAGUAUAGCUGCUUCAUUCCAUUACUCUCAAUGUGUUACAUUGCUAGCAUAUUCCAUGUGCUGACCCGUUUUCGGGCUGCAACGUUAAUGUUGCAGACUUUUCAGACGAUGAUUAAGGAGUUUUUAGGUCAUGGUCCUAUACUCAGUUUUGCCGUUGGAGUUGAUGGACUCACUUAUCUUCCAAGCCUUCCGCUGUUAUCGUUAUUAGAUGGCCUUAAGCCAUAUUUAUUGUAAUAAGUUCUCGUUUGAGACAUUCGAUGUAAUAAGUGUGUGAUUGCUACUCUGCUAUAAAUCCUCCGAGUACUGUGUGGUGUCAGCAUUACUGAUCCAGGGAUGACACUGGAGCAUAGAGAUCAGACUGUUUGAGGUCUGGUUGCUACAGAGAUGGUAUCAGAGCACACGCUGACUGUAGAACACGACCAUAAGCUAAAGACCUAGAUCACUCUCUUCUCUUCUGACUCCUCAUCUUUUCUACUCUUUAGGAUGGCGGAUGCAAGGAACAAGUUCACGCAACCGGAUGAAGAUACACCCUUUGGACGUCACUUGAAGGAAGUCACUAGAUACCUGAACAUAGGAGUACCAAGCUUCACGGGAACCUACAACGCCACUUUACCUAAAGAAGAUCGCUGGAUGAUUCAAGUUCAAGUUCCAGGAAGGACGUUCAUGCCAGUCACUGAGCCCAUAGAGUUUUCUUUUGAUGCACCAACUUGGAAUCUAGGAAAGAGCAUGGCAGCUCACAUCGCCAUGGGACGCAUUGGAGAAGCCUACCGCAAGGAUCUCAAGGACACCAUCUACCAGAUUUGUGGGCGCCGAGAUGAACACUGCGAGAUGAUCAGCACCAGGAAGGAUAGAUCAAUCGCAGCUUUUAUCCAGGAGUUAAACCAGCACAUUCAAUGACAGGAGAACCAGAUGUGCGCCGACAUGAUAGAUCUAAAGAAGGCUAAGACUAGAAUCAAGGAACUGGAGGAAGAACUCAAGGCUACACGUGAAGAUUAUGAAGAGGAAAUUGAAGUAUUGGUGGAGAAGAAUGACGACCUGAUCAAGAAGAUUGGAAUAUUUAUGGGAGGCCCUACGCCAGUAGAUGAAGACGAAGAACCCAAGGAGAUUAGCUCGGAAGACUACAUCAUCAUCGACAGCACCGACUCGGAAGCAUAUAGUAGCAAUGAUGACUAUGUUGAUGAAGCUGGAGCAGAUAUUAUGGAGUCCACGACCGUAGAAUAUUUCUAAUAGACCACCUCAUCAGUAGUAGUAGUCCACCAUGUAAAUAUAGUAGUCCGAGCACUUUUGCGAUAGUUAGAUCGAUUGUAUGCCUUGUCUGAUUGAUUGAAGUGAAUUGUUUGCUUUUUCCUCAUGUGCAUAUGGGUAGUGUUUUCUCUUUAGACCCCCUCUAUUCUUAUAUCUCAUCUUUUCUAAAAUCCUUAGAUGCCUCCGAGAUGUGACCCCGGAUUUGCCUUUCCACCGGAGCUCACCCAGUUGAUCCAGCAGCAGAACACAUUGAUGCAGUUGCUAGUCCAGAAUCAGAAUCAGGGGAACAACAACAACAAUCCACCACCACCACCACCACCUGUUGACCACUUAGCCCGUUUUCUUAGGCUAAAUCCGCUGGUGUUUUCCAGUAGCACCGAGCCGAUAGUAGCAGAUGAUUGGCUCUGUAAGGCAGCUAGAGAGUUGACCACAGCAGGAUGCACAGAUGCGGAGAAAGUGAAGUUUGCCGCACAUCAGCUUGAAGGACCCGCAUCAUCAUGGUGGGAGAAUUUCACAGCCACUUUCCCAGUCGACACUGUCACAUGGGACCAGUUUCAGCAGGCUUUUCGUACUGCCCAUGUUUCAGUAGGAGCUAUGGCCAUGAAGAAGCGUGAGUUUCGCAACUUGCGCCAAGGAGGACGGACAGUUGGCCAAUACGUGGAGGAGUUUAGUAAGUUAGCACGUUGUGCCCCAGAUGACGUAGCUACGGGUGCAGCUAAGCAGGAGAAGUUUCUAGAAGGACUGAAUGAUGAGUUGAGCAUGCAGUUGAUGGUAGCCACCUUCAACAACUACAAGGAGUUGGUAGAUCAUGCUCUUAUGAUUGAAGGGAAGUAGCAGCAAAUUAAGAACCGCAAGAGGAAGUAUGGACAAGGAAAGUACAAUUCAGGAGCUCAGCAGAAGCCACGUUUUACCCCUAGACUGGGAGGACAUUUUCAGCAUACCCAUGGAGGAGGUAGCUCGCACAAUCACAAUGGCACCAAGAAUGGUAAUGGCAAUGGAGGAAGCAAGGCCAGAAUCGCACCAACCCAUCCACCCCAGCCAAGAAGGACCUGAGCCAAGUCACUUGUUUUAAGUGUCAGAAAACCGGACAUUAUGCCAAUGAAUGUCCUGAAGGCCAAAAUGGCAAUGGAAGUUCUGGGAAGAAGCCGAACCCUGUCAAUAGGGGACAGGUGAACCACGUUAAUGUGGAGGAGGUUGAAGCUCAGCCCGAUGCAGUAAUAGGUAAGUUUUUGGUUAAGUCAUUUACUGCACUCGUUCUUUUUGAUACUGGUGCAUCGCAUUCAUACAUCUGAAGGGGAUUUGUGGAUAAGUAUAACCUACCAACCCAAGCCCUUAGGUCAUCCAUGUUAGUAACCUCGCCCGGAGCAGAGUAUGUGGCUAGUCUAUGGUGUGAUCGGUUACCAUUAAGGAUUGGUAACUAUGUUUUUCCCUCAGACCUAAUAGUAUUGGAAUCUCAAGGAUUGGAUGUGAUAUUAGGCAUGGAUUGGUUAUCAAAGUAUGAAGGGAAUAUUGAAUGUGCUAGUAAGUCAAUUUGGCUUACCACCCUGGAAGGGAGAAGGAUCAAAUAUGUAUCCCGACAUGUGCCAAAGAGGACCCAAGUAAAUUGCUUAACAGGAGUUGUGCAGGAGGAAGUACCAGUGGUAAGGGAUUUUCCCGAUGUAUUUCCAGAAGAGUUGCCAGGCAAUGCCACCGGAUAGAGAUAUUGAGUUUUUGAUUGAGCUAUUGCCAGGCACAGGGCCAAUAUCAAAGAGACCAUAUAGGAUGCCAGCAAAGGAUUUGGUGGAAAUUAAGAAGCAGAUUAAGGAGUUACUGGAUAAAGGAUAUAUUCGCCCAAGUUCUUCGCCUUGGGGAUCGCCAGUAGUACUAGUGGAGAAGAAGGAUGGAUCGUUAAGGAUGGUUGUUGAUUAUCGAGGAUUGAAUGAAGUAACAAUCAAAAACAAGUACCCACUACCAAUGAUCAACGAUCUGUUUGAUCGAUUGCAAGGAGCUAAGGUAUUUUCCAAGAUCGAUCUGCGAUCAGGAUACCACCAGUUGAAGAUUUGAGAACAGGAUAUUCCGAAGACAGCUUUUACCACCAGGUAUGGGCUGUACGAGUAUACCGUUAUGUCAUUUGGUCUGACUAACGCACCUGCCUAUUUUAUGAACAUGAUGAACAAAGUGUUUAUGGAGUUUUUUGAUAAGUUUGUCGUAGUGUUCAUUGAUGAUAUCCUGGUUUACUCGAAGAAUGAAGAGGAGCAUAAGGAGCAUUUGCGUUUGGCACUUGGAAAGCUCAGGGAACAUCAAUUAUAUGCCAAGUUUAGCAAAUGUGAGUUUUGGUUGAAGGAAGUAGGAUUCCUUGGACACGUUAUAUCUGGAGAAGGUAUAGCAGUAGAUCCCGCUAAAGUUGAAACCGUGACCAAGUGGGUAUCCCCAACAACAGUUGGAGAGAUCCAGAGUUUUCUUGGACUCGCAGGAUACUACCGGAGAGUUAUUGAGAAUUUCUCAAAGAUUGCGAAGCCUAUGACUGAGUUGUUGAAGAAGGAAAUCAAGUUCAUAUGGACAGAGGAGUGUGAGGCUAGUUUCCAGGAGUUGAAGAAACGUUUGGUUACCUCACCAGUAUUGAUUUUGCCAGACCAGACCAAGUAUUAUGAGGUGUAUUGCGACGCUUCACGUUGAGGACUUGGAGCAUUGCUUAUGCAGGAACGGAGAGUUGUUUCAUAUGCCUCAAGACAACUGAAGCCUCAUGAGUUGAAUUAUGCUACACAUGAUUUGGAGUUAGCAGCUGUAGUGCAUGCACUGAAGACAUGGAGACAUUUCCUCAUUGGAAAUCAUUGUGAGGUGUAAACGGAUCAUAAGAGUUUGAAGUACAUUUUCACCCAGAAGGAGUUGAAUCUCAGACAAAGGAGAUGGUUGGAGCUUAUCAAGGAUUAUGAUAUGAAAUUGCAUUAUCACCUCGGAAAGGCUAAUGUAGUAGCUGACGCAUUAAGCCGUAAGAUCCAUGUCAAUACAUUAACGACGGGAGAAAUACCCAAGGAGUUAGCAGAAAAUCUUCAUGAACUAUGUUUGGAAAUAGUUCCGAGAGGCUAUGUAGCAGCAUUGGAGAUUCAGUCAACUUUGAUGGAUAGAAUCAGGGAAGCUCAGAAAACUGACAAAGAGAUUGCUGCUAUAAAGGAGAAACUGAGCAAAGGAAAAGCUAAAGGAUUUCGUGAGGAUGAGCACGACACCCUAUGGUUUUAAGACCGUGUUUACAUGCCCAAUGACCCGGAGAUCAGGAAGUUGAUACUGCAAGAGGCACACGAUUCACCAUAUUCGAUUCACCCAGGUAAUACCAAGAUGUAUUUGGAUUUGAAGGAUAUUUUCUGGUGGACCGGAAUGAAGAAGGAUAUUGCGGAGUAUGUAGCAGUUUGUGAUGUAUGUCAGAGAGUAAAGGCAGAACAUCAGAAGCCAGCAGGAUUGUUACAACCAUUGCCGAUACCCGAAUGGAAGUGGGAUAAGUUAGGCAUGGAUUUUAUCACGGGAUUGCCCAGGACUCGUUCAGGCUAUGACUCAAUUUGGGUUGUAGUUGAUCGAUUGACAAAAGUAGCUCAUUUCAUCCCAGUAAAGACCACUUACAACAGUGCUAAGUUGGCCAAGAUAUACAUGACCAGGAUCGUAUGUUUGCAUGGAGUUCCAAGGAGUAUCGUAUCGGAUAGAGGAACCCAGUUUACCUCAAAGUUCUGGAAGCAGUUGCACGAAACUUUGGGAACCAGGCUAGAAUUCAGUACAACUUUUCAUCCACAGACAGAUGGACAGACCGAGAGAGUCAAUCAGAUUUUGGAGGAUAUGCUGAGAGCUUGUGCACUAGAUUAUGGAUCUAGUUGGGACGAUAAUCUGCCAUAUGCAGAGUUCUCUUACAUCAAUAGUUACCAAACCAGUUUAAAGAUGGCCCCUUUCGAAGCCUUGUACGGAAGGAGGUGCAGGACACCGUUGUCAUGGGACGAAGUUGGAGACCGCCAGUUGUUUGGACCUGACUUGAUUAAAGAGUCUGAACAGAAGGUGAAGUUGAUUCGUGAUAGGCUCAAGAUAGCCCAGUCCAGGCAGAAAAGUUAUGCAGAUUCUAAACGCAAGGAGACAGUUUAUGAAGUCGGAGAUAGAGCUUAUCUUCAAGUAUCUCCACUUCGGGGAAAAAGCGUUUUGGAGUUAAAGGGAGGUUAGCGCCACAAUUUGUAGGACCAUAUCGAGUUUUGGAGCGUAUGGGAGAAGUGGCCUACAAGUUGGAAUUGCCCGAAGGAUUGUCAGGAGUACAUGAUGUGUUCCACGUUUCUCAGUUAAAGAAAUGUCAUGCGGAGAUGGCUGACAUACCGUUGAGAGACACAGUGCCUUUGGAAACUAUUCAGUUGGAUAACGAUUUGACCUACAAGGAGAAACCAGUUAAGAUCCUCGACUUUGCCAGCCGAGUUACCCACAGCAAGGUUAUCAAGUUUUGCAAAGUUCAGUGGAGCCACCACACGGAGGAUGAAGCCACCUGGGAGUGAGAGGAAGAUUUGCUCAAAGACCACCCUCACCUAUUUUCUAGCCAACCCGAAUCUCGAGGGCGAGAUUCAUCUUAAGGGGGGUAAGUUUGUAACAUCCCCAAUUUUCAAUUUGGAAGGUUAUACAUUAGAUCAUCAAUGCAUAUCAUAUUUUAUUUUGCAUUUUGGUUGAUCCUAGAAAUUCUACGCAACUCAAGGACCCGCGGAGAGAGUUGGGGAUUUCGUUAUUUUCAUAUUUGAGUUCUCUCAAAUUUUGAGAAUAGGAUCAUUUGAUUUUAUUUAUUUUAUCGUCAAUUAUUUCUAUUACAAAAAUAUGAGAGAGGGAAUAAAAUGACUUUCCCAAAAUAAAGAAAUAUUGAGGAUUUAAUAAUAAAAUCAAAUAAGAUUUUAUUUCGGAGUUUUUCGGUGUUUUAUUUGAAUUUAGGAAAAAAGUGCGUUUUUCAAAAUUGCAUUUAGGGCUCAAAUAAAUGUUCACCUUGUGCGGCUUGAUUUUAGAAGCCCAUGAGAAUUUAUUUCGGAAUUUUUGGAGUUCAUUUAGUAUUUCUUUUUAUUUUUCUUCCGAGCGGAAUAAUUAAAAAAAACGAACCGACUUCGGGCCGUACCCGAGCGGGACACCGCCCGGGGGCAGCCUUUAAAUAGUGCCACCCCGAGCCGCCCGAGCCCAUCAGUCCCGCCUCGAUCCGGAGUGCGCCGCCUGUUACUUCGAAUCGUUAGGUUUCGCGGAUCAUCAGCAAGGCAAGUAACACUUUGAUCAUACCUUUUCUACCACCCAGUUUUAUUGCAUUAGAUCAAACCUCACACAUUGCAUGAUUAGGAUCUAAUUAAAUUGUGGGAUGGGAAGUAGAUGAGGUAGUACCUAUUACCUGUUUAUUAUCAAACCUUUGGGAGUUACUUCUACGUUUGCUUAUUAUGCCAUGCUAUGCUAGUAGACGUGGAUUGGGUGAGUGAUAUCCAUGACAGAUGUGAGUUUUGUUAAUUAAUGGUUUUUAUCUAAGGUGGCAACUUAAACACACAUCUGGGUGGAUUGAGGCACCUGGCUAUUCCAGGACUUGCCUGUUUUCUUUUGGACCGCCACCCAGGCUCAAAGGGAUCAUGAGACUAUUCAUACUAGAAACUUCUGUGUGCAGCCAGAAGCUAUUAUGGGCUCUAGCAUAGUUGACUAAGUUGUGCGAACUCUUACGGUGGUAGACUAGCAGAUGUAGGGGAUGUAGGUGGUACGGUCUACCCGAUCGUAAGGUGCUAGCGCUUCUGAAAGACUAUGUCUCGGUCAUCCGUCUUCUCAAACACCAUGUAGUGCGAGAAACCAAACGGAGGCGAUUGAGUCUUGUGGGGAAAAGUGCACAAACCUCUGCAGAGUAUAAUAAACUAAUCAUGGUUAGCCGUGUCCCCGGUUAUGGACAUCUUGAGUAUCUAGUACUUGGAUUAUCAUGUGAAUCUCAACAUGUUACUCUAAAUAAAUUUUGUUGGGUUAUGUUUAAUGAUGAUGCUUAAUUGGGAUUGAGGAUGCUGUCAACCAUUCUCAAUGUUUAACAACCACCAUGAUAGUAAUUAAAUUUUAUUCCUUUGAAGUAGGGAAAAAUUGGCUUUACGCAAAACUGUAACCAGAGAGCUUUCCACCAGCCAAAUAUGCAUAUAGUAUAGCCGUUUCAUUCCAUUACUCUCUAUGUGUUGCAUUGCCAGCAUAUUCCAUGUGCUGACCCGUUUUUGGGCUGCAACGUUAAUGUUGCAGACUUUUCAGACGACGAUUAAGGAGUUUUUAGGUCGUGGUCCUAUACUCAGUGAUGCCGUUGGAGUUGAUGGACUCACUUAUCUUCCAAGCCUUCCACUGUUAUCGUUAUUAGAUGGCCUUAAGCCAUAUUUAUUGUAAUAAGUUCUCGUUUGAGACAUUCGAUGUAAUAAGUGUGUGAUUGUUACUCUGCUAUAAAUCCUCCGAGUACUGUGUGGUGUCAGCAUUACUGAUCCAGGGAUGACACCGGAGCACAGAGAUCAGACUGUUUGAGGUCUGGUCGCUACAGAUCGUGAUCCCGUGGAAUUCGGACGUGAAGGCGGUGUCGAACGCGCUCUGGCGCGGCAUAGCGUGGGCGAGGGGAAAGAGAUAAGGGCGGGCCCCCGCGGUCAGUGAGAGGGAGAGAGGAGGAGGCGAGCGGGCGACCGAUCGGGAGAGGAUUCGGGUGCGAGCGCUAUGCUGGGCUGGCGGCUCGGCGCUGGCUGGGCUGCGGCCUCGCUGGCUGGGCCGAGCUUGGCCAGCUCGGGGGGGGGGGGGCUUUUCCUUUUUUUUGAAUGAAGGCAGAGAGAAAAAACUAAACUAAGAGAAAACUACAAUAUUUUUAUAUAAGACAUAUAUAUAUCAAAAUUCUCAGGGGAAAUAAUCCUACAACGUGGACAUUUUUCCAGGGGCAAAACAGAAACUAAAAAAAACAUUUCUGCAAAUUCCAAAUAAAAUCAAAUUUGAAUUCAAACCUUUUGGCAUUAAUUUUUCUUCUGAAAUUUUUGGAGUGUCAUGUUUACUCCUCUCUUACUUUUUCUCAAGUAUUCUGUGAGGCAUUUCUUUUUGAAAUAAAUUUCAAUUGCCAAGUUGAAUCCAAUUCAAACAACAACUCAAAUGCCUCUGAAAAUUUCCAAAUGCCACACAAUUCAAACAAAAUGCAUAGAUGCUUAACUAAUAAUUGUAAAACAUUCCAAAUUGAAAAUUUGGGAUGUUACAAACCUACCCACCUUAAGAUGAAUCUCUCCCUCAAGAUUCAGGUUGGCUAGCAAAUAGGUGCGGGUGGUCUCGGCGGAGAUCUUCUUCUCGCUCCCAGGUGGCUUCCUCCUUGGAGUGGUGGCUCCACAGAACCUUGCAAAACUUGAUGAUCUUGCGGCGGGUAAUUCUGUUCGCAGUCUCGAGAAUUCUGACGGGUUUCUCCUCAUAAGUCAGAUCACUGUCAGGCUGUAUGGCCUCUAGAGGCACUGUGUCUCUCAAAGGAACAUCGGCCAUCUCGGCAUGGCAUUUCUUCAGCUGGGAUACUUGAAAGACAUCGUGAACUCCUGACAAGCCUUCUGGCAAUUCCAGCUUAUAUGCAACUUCUCCUCUGCGUUCGAGGAUUUUGUAGGGGCCAAUGAACCUGGGUGCUAAUUUUCCUUUAACCCCAAAUCUCUUGAUUCCAUGAAGUGCGGACACACGGAGAUAUGCUCGGUCUCCAACUUCAUAUGUUAUCUCCUUGCGUUUACUAUCGGCAUAACUCUUCUGUCUUGAUUGGGCUAUCUUGAGUCUAUCUCGAAUCAGCUUGACUUUCUCUUCGAAGUCUCUGAUAAGAUCGGGACCAAAAAGUUUUCGGUCUCCAACACCAUCCCACAGCAAUGGUGUUCUGCACCUCCUUCCGUAUAGAGCUUCGAAAGGGGUCAUCUUCAGACUGGUCUGAUAGCUAUUGUUGUACAAGAACUCUGCAUAUGGCAAAUUGUCAUCCCAGCUAAACCCGUAGUCUAGCGCACAGGCUCUCAACAUGUCCUCUAGAAUCUGGUUGACUCUCUUGGUCUGUCCAUCUGUCCGUGGAUGAAAAGUUGUACUGAACUCCAGCCCCGUACCCAAAGUUUCAUGCAACUCAUUCCAAAACUUUGAGGUAAACGGUGUUCCUCUAUCUGACACGAUACUCCUCGGAACUCCAUGCAGACAUACCAUCCUGGUCAUGUAUAUCUUGGCUAACUUAGCGCUGGCAUAUGUAGUCUUCACGGGAAUGAAAUGAGCUACCUUGGUCAAGCGAUCAACUAGUACCCAGAUAGAAUCAUAACCUGAACGGGUCCGGGGUAAUCCUGUGAUAAAAUCCAUUCCAUGUUUUUCCCAUUUCAACUCGGGAAUUAGUAGUGGUUGAAGUAACCCUGCCGGCUUCUGAUGUUCCGCCUUUACUCGCUGACAAACAUCGCAUACUGCUACAUACUCGGCAAUAUCCUUCUUCAUACCUGUCCACCAGAAACUUUCCUUCAAAUCCAGAUACAUCUUGGUGUUGCCUGGGUGAAUCGAGUACGGUGAAUCAUGGGCCUCCUGAAGAAUUAACUUCCUGACCUCUGGGUCAUUGGGCACAUAGAUACGAUCCUCAAACCAUAAAAUUCCGUGUUCAUCCUCAUGAAAACCUUUAGCCUUUCCGUUACUCAUAUUUUCCUUUAUCUCUGCAAUUUCCUUGUCCGUCUUCUGCGCUUCACGGAUCCUUUCGGUCAAAGUGGAUUGAAUAUCCAAGGUGGCGAAAAAUCCUCUUGGUACUAUCUCCAAUCGGAGAUCUCUGAGAUCGUCGGCUAAUUUCUGAGGUAAUCCUCCAGCUAUGAGGGUGUUCACAUGGCUUUUACGGCUCAAGGCAUCUGCUACAACAUUUGCUUUCCCUGGGUGAUAAUGCAAUCUCACCUCAUAGUCCUUGAUCAAUUCAAGCUAUCUCCUUUGUCUGAGGUUCAACUCCUUCUGCGUGAAAAUGUACUUCAAGCUCUUAUGAUCCGUGUAAACAUCACAACUAUUUCCGACAAGGAAAUGUCUCCAUGUCUUGAGUGUGUGCACUACGGCUGCUAACUCCAAAUUGUGUGUGGCAUAAUUCAUCUCGUGAGGUCGUAGCUGUCUGGAGGUAUAAGCUACAACUUUUCCUUCCUGCAUGAGCACUCCUCCGAGUCCUUGACGAGAAGCGUCACAAUACACCUGGUAAUCCUUGUGUAUGUCCGGCAAAAUGAGUACUGGGGCUGUAACCAGACGUUUCUUCAACUCCUGAAAACUGGCUUCACAAUCCUCGGUCCAAAUGUACUUGGUUUCCUUCUUCAACAGCUCGGUCAUGGGUUUAGCAAUCUUGGAGAAAUUCUCAAUAAAUCUCUGAUAAUAUCCUGCAAGUCAGAGAAAAUUGCGGAUCUCCUUGACUGAGGUGGGGGAUUGCCAGUUGGUGACCGAUUCAACCUUGGUGGGGUCGACUGCUAUUCCUUCUCCUGAAAUAACAUGUCUGAGGAAUCCGACUUCCUUCAACCAAAAUUCACAUUUGCUGAACUUGGCAUAUAACUAAUGUUCUCGGAGUUUCUCGAGAACUAGACGCAGAUGUUCCUUGUGCUCUUCCUCACUCUUGGAGAAAACCAAUAUGUCAUCGAUGAACACCACGACAAACUUGUCCAGAUAUUCCAUAAAUACCUUGUUCAUCAUGCUCAUGAAAUACGCAGGGGCAUUAGUCAAUCCGAAUGACAUGACGGUAUACUCAUAUAAACCAUACAUGGUGGUGAAAGAUGUUUUGGGUAUAUCCUGUUCACGAAUCUUCAGCUGAUGAUACCCUGAUCGAAGAUCGAUCUUGGAAAAUACUUUGGCUCCGACUAGCUGAUCAAAUAAAUCAUUAAUCAUCGGCAGAGGGUACUUAUUCUUGAUGGUCACGUCAUUCAAUGAACGAUAAUCUACAACCAUUCUCAGGGUUCCAUCCUUCUUCUCUACCAAAAGAACCGGGGCUCCCCAAGGUGACGAACUUGGGCGAAUAUAUCCUUUCUCCAAUAAUUCCUUGAUCUGCUGCUUGAUCUCUUCCAAAUCAUUCGGGGGCAUCCGAUAAGGUCUCUUGGAUAUUGGGGCUGUGCCAGGUAAUAACUCAAUCAGAAAUUCUAUUUCUCUGUCCAAUGGCAUUCCUAGUAAUUCCUCCGGAAAUACAUCCGAAAAAUCUUGUACUAUAGGAACUUCCUCCUGAACCACUCCCGUGAGGGAAUUCACCUGCUUCUUCAUCGGUGUGUGUCUGGAUACAUACUUGGUCCUCUUCUGCUCCAGGGUGGUGAGCAAAAUCGUCUUGCGGGCACAGUCGAUGUUCCCUUCAAACUUCGUCAACCAGUCCAUGCCUAGGAUCACGUCCAAUCCCUGGGAUUCUAAGACUAUGAGGUCUACGGGAAAAUCAUGAUUUCGAUGCUGAGGGUUGAAUGACAAUCUAAGCCUGCCAUCAUAUCUCCUACUGGGGAAGUGACGAGGAGCGGGGUUCUAAGGGUCCUAGUGGGCAAACCGUACUUUUCCACAACUACCCUUGAUAUGAAUGAAUGUGUUUUAUCGGAAUCAAAAAGUACCAAUACUAGACGUGAAUUUAAUAAAAACUUACCAACCAUAGUGUCUGGCUGGUCAUAGACGUCCUCCACGUCAAUGUGAUUCACCUGAGCAAGAGGAAAAGGGUUGGGCUUCUUUGCUGAGCUUCCAUUGCCGUUGCCGUUUCCAUUUCUCUGCUUGGCCUCCGGACAAUCGGUGGCAUAGUGUCCUGUCUUCUGGCACUUGAAACAGGUGAUAUGACUCAGAUCCUUCUGAGUCAGAGUAGGACGGUGCUGGUUGCCGUUGCCUCCAUUGCCUGACUUGGAGUUGUUGUCGUGGUUGCGAUUGUUCCCAUUCCCUCCAUGGUUAUGUCUUCCAUGAUUAUGUCCUCCAUGGGUGUGAUGGGUAUGUCCUCCCGAGUAUGGGGCAUAGCGGGGCUUCUGCUGAGCUCCGGAGUUGUACUUUCCUUGGCCAUAUUUCCGCUUGCGGCUUUCAAUCUGUUGCUGCUUGCCUUCAAGUAUAGUGGCCUUGUCUACCAGCUCCUGGUAGUUGUUGAAGGUAGCCACCAUUAGCUGCAUUCCCAGCUCAUCAUUGAGUCCCUCAAGAAACUUCUCCUGUUUUGCGGCUUCUGUGGCCACAUCAUCUGGGGCAUAGCGAGAUAAUUUGUCGAACUCAUCCACAUAUUGCCCCACAGUACGGUUUCCCUGGCGUAAGUUGCGGAACUCACGCUUCUUCAGACUCAUGGCUCCAGCUGAGACAUGAGCGGUGCGGAAAGCAUGCUGGAACUGAUCCCAUGUCAUGGUGGCGACCGGAUAAGUAGCGGUGUAGUUCUCCCACCAAGAGGCUGCAGGUCCAUUCAGUUGAUGUGCGGCAAAACGCACCUUCUCAGCAUCUGUGCAUCCAGUAGUUGUUAGAUCCCUUCCGAUCUUGCGGAGCCAAUCAUCAUCUACAAUCGGCUCGGUGCUACUAGAGAACACCGACGGAUUCAGCCUUAGGAACCGGGUCAGGUUAUCAACGGGGAGUGGCGGUGGUGGGUUGUUGUUGUUGCCUUGGUUUUGGAUGAGCAUUUGCAUUAAGGCAUUCUGUUGUUGAAUCAGCUAGGUGAGCUCUGGCGGGAAAGUGAAACCGGGAUCACGUCUCGGAGGCAUCUGGUGUUAUGGAGUGGAUGAGAAAUUAGAAUAGAACAAGGGUCUAAUGAGAAAAUAGCACUACCCAAAUGAAUGCACAAACAUAAUCACACCAAUCAUUUAUUCAUUCAUCUCAAACAAGGUUCAAUCUUGGAUUACAAAAUCUCACGACUAGUCGAAAAUAAUAGCCUAACUGAUCAACGAAAAUAAAAUAACAUGGCAGUCGACUAAAUGUCUUCAUCAAUUAUCCUUGCAUCCUCUGGUGCGGCGUCCUCUGGUGCAUCGUCCUCUGGUGCGGCGCCUCCUCUUGCGGCUUCCUUUGGUGGAGCUCUCUUCAUAAUCCUCGUCAUUGCUCACGAGGGGUCCAUCAUCUCCACUCGGAAAAAGGUCUUCUCCCAGAUCCAUCUUCUCCUCUAGUGUGGCAAUAUAUUUCUCCCGGUCCUCGAGUCUAUCCAUAAAAUCCUUGACUUAUUCUUCAUGCUCAUAGUGGGCUUCAUGUGCUGCAUCCUCCAGUUCCAUUUCAUGAAGAUGCAACUUUUGGACCGUCUUCAAGCUCCUGCGCAUCUGAAUCUCUAGAGCCCUGAUGUGAGCCUCCAAGUCUUGGGCAUAUGAGCGAACAGAGUCAUCAUCAAUAGUGCAGAUGAGCUCUCCAUCUGCAGUCUUGCGAGAAAUCAUGGUGUGAUCUGAUCCAACGAGCUCGACCCUAUAUUCCUCCUGGAUGCGUCCAAGUGCAGUAUGAACUGCUAUGUCUCUCCCGAGUAUCCAAGUGGGAGCAGUGAACCUGAAGUCAACGGGCGCCGAGAUACUUCCGAAAGUACUCCCUAGUAUGUGUACCUUAAUCCUAUAGCGAGGCUCUUCUGGGAAUGCCAUGAUAGGGGUCCCGAUGAUAGACAGCAGAGCAAUCUUCUAUUCCUUGAUGAUCUGGACCAGCCUCCUGCCGAAAAGCAUUGUCUCAUCUGGCUGGCAAAACUCCGGGAGCAGAAUUGGCAUGAACUUGACGGCCAUCUAGAAUGUUGAAAUCGGAGAGAAAUCAGAAAUGAAUAGGGGAGAAUUACGGAAUGAUAAGGACAUAAAAUAAAAUAGUUUCUUCCUAUGGCUUUCCGAUCCUAGGGGUUACGUCCUACGGUCAGCCUGUGCUCUGAAUACCAUCUCUGUAACGACCCGACCCAAAAUCGGUCAAGUCUCUGUGUGGUUGUACCAUCCCAAGAUCAUGCUGGCACACACAGUACAUUGAUGAAAAGAUUCAAAGUUCAAUCACACCUGAAUUUAUUACACGAUUCUCAUAUCGAGUCUUUAUUACAUCAUAAUAAAUUCGGCCGAAGGCCAACACAUGAGAAAUAAACUAAAUAAAGUUGCGGAAGCGUAGACGAAUAAGCGAGUCCAUCCAACUCCAUAGGGCAAUCACCGAGCAUAGAUCAUAGCCUCACUCCUGGUCAGAAAACUCCUUUGCAACAUGAGACGUUGCAGCCGUGUAGGUCAGCAUUUUGAAUAUGCCAGCAAGUCAUAGAGAGAAAGAACAAUAAUAAUGCUAACACUAUAUGCAAUUUGGCUGUGGGGCUCUAAGUUUUAUGUUUUUGCGAGAAAGCCAGUUUUUCCCUACAACAAAGGACUUGCUUACAAUUACUACAAAAUGUUGAUAGUUAUUGAGAUGGUUCCGCGAACCAAUGUCUCAUUCCCAAUUAUUAAUUAACCCCUCAAUUAAUUUAUUUGUUCGGUGUUGAGAUUUCCGAAAUACUCCAGUUUCCAGAGGCUCAUUUGUCCGUAACCGGGGACACGGCUAAUCGAUUAGGUUGUUACUCUGCAGAGUCUUGUGCACUUUACCCGCAAGAAUCGUUCCCUCCUUUAUGUCCUCACACUGCCUGGUGUUUGAAGAUAGGAUGAAUGAAACAAGGUCUUCCGUAGAGUUUCUCUAGGCACUGUCGGUGCCCAUCCAUGUCCUACCGUUCUUCUACAUCUGCUGGCACCGUCCGUCCAGAUUCACGCUUAAGGUCAACCCAGCCAGAGCCCAUAAUGGCUUGCGGCUGCACAGGUAAGCUUCCGGUCAAGGGUUAUCCAUCCGUCUCUUCAUGGCUGGGUGAAGCUUUCCGCAAGAUGUCAUGGCGCUUCUCCAUGCAUCCCGGCCAUCCGCUGGUUCCUCCAGGGUGCCCGUCAACCGUCCUCCACCCAGUAGUGAAUUUGAAGUCCAUCUUGAGCUUGAAGUCAUGGGGUUGUCAUUAUCUUGACUCUCACAUCUCCCUUAUGAAUCUCUCAACCAACCCCAUCUACGAGCAUAACAAGAUAAACUACAUCGUCCCGGGAAAUAGUAGCAAGGGGAACUGGGUUCAUCCUACCUCAUGAUACUACUCAAGAAAUAACUUAAAAUUCUCCUACUGCAUGCAUGGUGGGGAGGAAUAAUUCUAAUGCAACAAAAUCAUAGGUAUUGUAAAACAUGAUCAAAUGACUUGCCUGGCUGGCGGUCUUCAAACGCUAGUGACUCGAGAUAGCAAGCUUCGCACUCCGGAAAUUCUAUCGAGUCAAACAAUAGCACAAAUAAGUAUUCCACUAAAUAACAUAACAGCAAGCUAAAGGAAAUCACACAAGCACUCAAACCAAAACCAAAGAAAACUCGAGGAAAACAAAAUCAAGGUUUUCAUCACUUCAAGCAACAACAAAGAAAUAGUUUUAUCCUACUAACACUUUUCUUAACAGAAUCAAAAUAAGGGUUUUGCUAACUAACAUAAAGGAAAACAUCAUAUAAACUAGGUGCAAAAAGAAUCACAUCAAUAUCUAUUAUAGAACUCAUGUUAUACCUAAAACAAAACUAAUAAGAAAAUAAAAUAAAACUUUUUAUUUUGCUGUAAAUAAAUGUUCACCCUCUAUAACUACAGAAACUAAUCUAAAAUAAAUUAUAACAGGGGUAAAUUAAAAUUCUAUAAUAACUAGAACAGCAGGAAGCAGCAGCAAGCUAAAUAAAACUAGAAAAGCUUGAUUUCGACUAAAACUAAUUUUCAUACAAUCUACAAAUACCCCAACAAGUUCCUAAUGCUAGGCUAGGUCAAAACUAAGCGGUGGCAAAAAGAAUCACCUAAAAAUAUUAAUUCUAGCUCAAAUUACGUAGAAAUACUAAUCUGACUAAAACGGAUAUAAAACUAUUUUUAUAAGCUUAAACAUGGCCGAAUCUAUUUUCUAUAGAAACUAUAGGAAAUUUGUAAACUAACAAAAAAGAAUCAACUAAAAAUAUUAAACAACCCAAAAGAUAUAGACUUUACAAGCACAGAACUAUUCUGUUUUAAAAAUAGAAACUAAAAAUAACUAAAAAAACAAGCGCUACUGAGCCUAUCUAACGCUCAGGCGAACACUAACUAAAACACGCCCGCGGCUAAACAGAAAUAAACCGCGCAACCGGCCUAACAAAACCACAACUUAAAAUAAACCAACCUAACCAGAAAAAACCGAAAAUAAACCAAUUUACUAAAAAACAAACUCUUUGUGUGAUCUAAUCUAGGCCAUGGAUAGCAGAUCGGACAGCGGGGAGCGGCUCCGGUGACUCACCACGGUUGCGACAACGGCGACAGGCAACGGCGGCUUGGGCGUGGACGGCGCGGCGGCUCCAGGGCCCGGGGAGGUCGGCGAAGAUGUCGGGGUGAGGCGGCGGAGUGUUGCGGAGGCGGUGGUGAUGUCGAGGUGGCUCGGGGACGACGGAAAUGGCCGGGGCGUCGACGGCGGGGUCCUGGUGAGCUGCAGCUCCGGCGAAGAGCGGCGGUGCUCGGGCGGCUUCCCGUAGGCGUCUAGGAAGAUCAAAAAGAUGUCAGGGGGUUGUGGGAGGAUGAGGCGGUUCACGGGGUGGAGCUUGGAGUCAAGGGGGGCGCUCACUGGUGGCAGAAGCGGUGGCGAACCGAGGUGGCGACGGCGAGAUGCGUUUGGCGACGGUGGUGGCUGUGGUGGGCUUUGGGAGUAGGGUUUUAGGGGGAUCAAGAGAGGAAGGGCGUAGGUAUUUAUAGGACAUCAACUUGGAGCAGGGGGCGACUCGGGAUCGUGAUCCCGUGGAAUUCGAACGCGGCGGCGGUGUCGAACGCGCUCUGACGCGGCAUAGCAUGGGCGAGGGGAAAGAGAUAAGGGCAGGCCCCCGCGACCAGUGAGAGAGAGAGGAGGAGGACGCGAGCGGGCGACCGGUCNNNNNNNNNNNNNNNNNNNNNNNNNNNNNNNNNNNNNNNNNNNNNNNNNNNNNNNNNNNNNNNNNNNNNNNNNNNNNNNNNNNNNNNNNNNNNNNNNNNNNNNNNNNNNNNNNNNNNNNNNNNNNNNNNNNNNNNNNNNNNNNNNNNNNNNNNNNNNNNNNNNNNNNNNNNNNNNNNNNNNNNNNNNNNNNNNNNNNNNNNNNNNNNNNNNNNNNNNNNNNNNNNNNNNNNNNNNNNNNNNNNNNNNNNNNNNNNNNNNNNNNNNNNNNNNNNNNNNNNNNNNNNNNNNNNNNNNNNNNNNNNNNNNNNNNNNUUUUUUUUAAAUUAAGGCAGAGAGAAAAAAACUAAACUAAGAGAAAACUAUAUUAUUUUUAUAUAAGACAUAUAUAUAUAUAUCAAAAUUCUCAGGUGAAAUAAUCCUACAACGUGGACAUUUUUCCAGGGGCGAAACAGAAACUAAAAAAACAUUCCUGCAAAUUCCAAAUAAAAUCAAAUUUGAAUUCAAACCUUUUGACAUUAAUUUUUCUUCUGACAUUUUUGGAGUGUCAUGUUUACUCCUCUCAUACUUUUGCUCAAGUAUUUUGUCAGAUGAUACGUCUCCGUCGUAUCUACUUUUCCAAACAAUUUUGCCCUUGUUUUGGACUCUAACUUGUAUGAUUUGAAUGGAACUAACCCGGACUGACGCUGUUUUCAGCAGAAUUGCCAUGAUGUUGUUUUAUAUGCAGAAAACAAAUAUUCUCGGAAUGACCUGAAACUCCACGGAACAUCUUAGAAAAAAAUCCUCGCCAAAGAUGAAGACCAGGGGGCCCAUACCCUGUCCACGAGGGUGGGGGCGCCCCCCCCCUCUAGGGCACACCCCCUACCUCGUGGGCCCCCUGGAUGCCCUCCGACGCCAACUCCAACUCUAUAUAUUUGCUUUCGGAGAGAAAAAAAUCAGAGAGAAGAAAUCAUCGCGUUUUAUGAUAUGGAGCCGCCGCCAAGCCCUAAAACCUCUCGGGAGGGCUGAUCUGGAGUCCGUUCGGGGCUCCGGAGAGGGGGAUUCAUCGCCGUCGUCAUCAUCAACCAUCCUCCAUCACCAAUUUCAUGAUGCUCACCGCCGUGCGUGAGUAAUUCCAUCAUAGGCUUGAUGGACGGUGAUGGGUUGGAUGAGAUUUAUCAUGUAAUCGAGAUAGUUUUGUUAGGGUUUGAUCCCUAGUAUCCACUAUGUUCUGAGAUUGAUGUUGCUAUGACUUUGCUAUGCUUAAUGCUUUUCACUAGGGCCCGAGUGCCAUGAUUUCAGAUCUGAACCUAUUAUGUUUUCAUGAAUAUAUGUGAGUUCUUGAUCCUAUCUUGCAAGUCUAUAGUCACCUACUAUGUGUUAUGAUCUGGCAACCCCGAAGUGACAAUAAUUGGGACCACUCCCGGUGAUGACCAUAGUUUGAGGAGUUCAUGUAUUCACUAUGUGCUAAUGCUUUGUUCUGGUUCUCUAUUAAAAGGAGGCCUUAAUAUCCCUUAGUUUCUGAUAGGACCCCGCUGCCACGGGAGGGUAGGACAAAAGAUGUCAUGCAAGUUCUUUUCCAUAAGCAUGUAUGACUAUAUACGGAAUACAUGCCUACAUUACAUUGAUGAAUUGGAGCUAGUUCUGUGUCACCCUAUGUUAUGACUGUUACAUGAUGAACCGCAUCCGGCAUAAUUAUCCAUCAUUGAUCCGGUGCCUACGAGUUUUCCAUAUACUGGUUCUCGCUUAUUUACUUCCCCGCUGCUACUGUUACAAUCACUACAAAAUACCAAAAACAUUACUUUUGUUGUCUUUACUUUUGUUGCCGCUACCGCCACUAUCAUAUUACUUUGCUACUAAAGACUUUGCUGCAGAUGCUAAGUUUCGAGGUGUGGUUGAAUUGACAACUCAACUACUAAUACUUGAGAAUAUUCUUUGGCUCCCCUUGUGUCGAAUCAAUAAAUUUGGGUUGAAUACUCUACCCUCGAAAGCUGUUGCGAUCCCCUAUACUUGUGGGUUAUCAAGACAAAUUUCUGGCGCCGUUGCCGGGGAGCAUAGCUCUAUUCUUUGAGUCACUUGGAAUUUAUAUAUACUGGACACUAUGAAGAACUUGAAAGACGCUAAUACAACAAUUUAUCCCUCAACUACGAGGGGAGGUAAGGAACUGCCAUCUAGCUCUGCACUUGAUUCACCUUCUGUUAUGAGUAGGCUAGCGACACGUAAACCUGCUUCUGCUAUUCGUUCCGAUAUGUCGCAUGUUAUUGAUGAUGCCACUUCUGCUAUGCAUGCUACUUAUGAUGAAACUGCUUCUAUGCCUGAUACUACUGUGCCCCUUGGUGAAUUUCUUGAUGAACAAAUUGCUAGGGCUAGAGAAAAAGAAAUUAUUGAAUCUGAAUACGAUGAUGAAAGUGAUGAUGAAAAUAUGCCUGUUAUUCCUGAGGGCUAUCUUUUUGAUAUGGAAUCUUCUGCCGCUAUUUUAGCUUGCAAAGAUAGAUAUGAGCUUAAGAGGUUAUUAGUUAAAUGGAACAAAGAAUCACUUAGAGAUAAAAUGAAACCCGACCCUGCUUUUGCUGCUUCACCUAUUUGUGUUCCUGAUAAGGAUUAUAAAUUCUCUGUUGAUCCUGAUAUAAUUACUUUGGUUGAAUCUGAUCCGUUUUAUGGCUACGAAUCUGAAACUGUUGUGGCACAUCUUACUAAGUUAAAUGAUAUAGCCGCCCUAUUUACUAAUGAUGAGAGAUCGCGUUACUUUUAUAUACUCAAAAUAUUUCCGUUCUCAUUAAAGGGUGAUGCUAAGAUAUGGUUUAAUUCUCUUGAUCCUGGUUGUGUGCGUAGUCCCCAGGAUAUGAUUUAUUACUUCUCUACUAAAUAUUUCCCUGCUCAUAAGAAACAAGCUGCUUUGAGGGAAAUAUACAACUUCGUGCAAAUUAAAGAAGAGAGUCUCCCACAAGCUUGGGGGAGGCUUCUCAAGUUACUUAAUGCUUUGCCUGAUCAUCCUCUUAAGAAACCUGAAAUACUUGAUAUCUUUUAUAAUGGACUAACCGAUGCUUCCAGAGAUUACCUGGAUAGUUGUGCUGGUUCUCUUUUCAGGGAAAGCACACUGGAUGAAGCUGAAAUUCUAUUGAAUAAUAUGUUGACAAAUGAAAAUAAUUGGGCACCUCCUGAGCCAGCUCCUGCUCCAAUUACUGAGUCUAUUCCUAAACCAACUCCGAAGAAGAGAGGUGUUAUAUUCCUCAGUCCCGAAGAUAUGCAAGAGGCAAAGGAAUCUAUGAAAGAAAAAGGUAUUAAAGCUGAAGACGUUAAGAAUUUACCUCCUAUUGAAGAAAUACAUGGUCUUAAUUCACCACCUAUUGAAGAAACUUAUGAUCUAAAUUCUUUAUUUAUUGAAAAACCUCCUGACUCCGAUAUCCCGACACAGGUAAUAAAAGUAAAUUCUCUCUAUAGAUAUGAUAAAGCUGAAGUCCCUCCUACUAAAAUUGCUAGUCAGUGCUUGGAUGAGUUUGAUAACUUCAUGUUUAAGCAAGACGACUUCAAUGCUUAUUUUGGUAGACAAUUAAAAGAAAAUGCUUAUAUGAUUAGACGCUUGGGUGAUUAUAUGGCUAAUAUUAAAGGUGAACUUAAACUUGUUAGCAAACAUGCUUCUAUGGUUACCACGCAAGUAGAACAAGUGCUUAAAGCUCAGAAAAAAGUGCUUGAUGAAAUGAAUAGUAAGAAAAAUGAUUAUGCUGUUAGAGUGGCUACUAGAACUGGUAGAAUGACUCAGGAACCUUUGUAUCAUGAAGGCCACCCUAAGAGAAUCGAGCAAGAUUCUCAAAGAAAUAAUAUUGAUGUUCCUAGUUCUUCUAAAAAGAAGAAGAAGAAAAAUAAUAGAACUGUGCACACUUCUGGUGAACCUAUUGCUGAACCACCUGAUAAUCCAAAUGAUAUCUCUAUGUUUGAUGUUGAAACACAAUCUGGUAAUGAACAUGAACCUAAUGAAAAUAUUAAUGAUGAUGUUCAUGAUAGUGCUCAACCUAGUAAUGAUAAUGAUGUAGAAAUUGAACCUGCUGUUGAUCUUGAUAAACCACUAUCAAAGAAUCAACGUUAUGAUAAAAGAGACUUUGUUGCUAGGAAACAUGGUAAAGAAAGGGAACCUUGGGUUCAGAAACCCAUGCCUUUUCCUCCAAAACCAUCCAAGAAAAAGGAUGAUGACGAUUUUGAGCGCUUUGCUGAAAUGAUUAGGCCUAUCUUUUUGCGUAUGCGAUUAACUAAUGUGCCCAAACAAAUCCUUAUGCUAAAUAUAUGAAGGAUAUCAUUACUAAUAAAAGAAAGAUACUGGAAGCUGAGAUUUCCAUCAUGCUUACUAAUUAUACUUUUAAGGGUGGAAUACCAAAGAAACUUGGAGACCCCGGAGUACCUACUAUACCUUGCUCCAUUAAAAGAAAUUAUAUUAAAACUGCUUUAUGUGAUCUUGGAGCCGGUGUUAGUGUUAUGCCUCUCUCUUUAUAUCGUAGACUUGACUUGAAUAAGCUGACACCUACCAAAAUAUCUUUACAAAUGGCUGAUAAAUUAACUGCUAUACGUGUCGGUAUUUGUGAGGAUGUGCCUGUUGUGGUUGCAAACGUUACUAUUUUAACGGACUUUGUUAUACUUGAUAUUCCCGAGGAUGAUAGUAUGUCUAUUAUUCUUGGAAGACCUUUUCUUAAUACUGCAGGGGCUGUUAUUGAUUGCAACAAAGGCAAUGUCACUUUUCAUGUUAAUGGUAAUGAGCAUACGGUACACUUUCCGAGGAAACAACCUCAAGUUCAUAGCAUCAACUCCAUUGGAAAAGUUCCAUCGAUUAUAAUUGGAGGUUUUGAAUUUCCUCUUCCUACUAUCAAAAAGAAAUAUGAUAUACUUAUUAUAGGGGAUGUGCAUAUCCCCGUUGAGGUAAUUUAGUGUUAUUCGAAAUUUCUCUGGUUUCAUGAUUAUCGGAAUGAGUUUGUUAACAAGACUUGAUCAACCUUGUUAGUGGAUUCUUUUUGAUGAGCAUGAGAUGGAUGAAACUAGAAGCACAACCUUCUAUACCCUCUCUAUAUUUUCUGUUAAUUAGUAGAAAUAAAGUAAAAAUAGUAUUUUCUGUCUGUUUCCUGACUUAUCCGUGCAAUAUAAAAAUAACCCGAAAAUAAAAGUCCUCAGAAUGACAUGCCAAUUUAAUAUGAUUUUUUUGGGAAUAUUUGAGGAUUUACUAUGCAAAAAUUACCGCGGGAGGAGCUGCCACCUGGCCACGAGGGUGGUGAGCGCCCCCCCUCUAGGGCGCGCCCCCCUGCCUCGUGGGCCCACGGUGGCCCUCCUCCACUUAUCCCAGCACCCAUCUUCUUCCUCUGUCUCACACAAACCCGAAAAACCAUCUGUCGGUGUCAAAACCGGCGGAUCUCGGGUAGGGGGUCCCGAACUGUGCGUCUAGGCUGGAUGGUAACAGGAGGCAGGGAACACGAUGUUUUACCCAGGUUCGGGCCCUCUCGAUGGAGGUAAAACCCUACGUCCUGCUUGAUUAAUAUUGAUGAUAUGGGUAGUACAAGAGUAGAUCUACCACGAGAUCAAGGAGGCUAAACCCUAGAAGCUAGCCCAUGGUAUGAUUGUUGUAUGAUGAUGUUGUCCUACGGACUAGAACCCUCCGGUUUAUAUAGACACCGGAUAGGGUUAGGGUUACAUAGAGUCGGUUACAAUGGUAGGAGAUCUUGAAUAUCCGCAUCGCCAAGCUUGCCUUCCACGCCAAGGAAAGUCCCAUCCGGACACGGGACGAAGUCUUCAAUCUUGUGUCUCCAUAGUCCUGGAGUCCGGCUGAAGGUAUAGUCCGGCUACCCGAACACCCCCUAAUCCAGGACUCCCUCAGUAGCCCCCGAACCAGGCUUCAAUGAUGAUAAGUCCGGCGCGCAGAUUGUUCGGCAUUGCAAGGCGGGUUCUUCUCCCAAUCCUGUGUACCUGUAAGAAUAAUGUUCGAUUUUUGUAAUGUAAUGCUCCUUGGCUUCCACGCCCAAUAAUGGCUGUCUUCCACGUGUCAAACGAAUGCGAAAAGCCAGGGCGUUUUUACAUCAACACCCCUAGCCAUAUAAAUGAGCCGCCUAUUUAACAGGAUGGGGAUUCAGGUUCAAACCACAUCUUCUCCUCUCCGCGAGUUAUCAUCAGAGCGCUUCCAGCAAAGGUCCAUUCCAACAUGUCCAGCCAUCGCAGCUCCUCCCCUCGCCCCUCCGGUCCCAAACCCGGGGACUGGGAGAGUUGCACCAUCCCGCACAGCGAGUUAGUGUCGCUUCAGGCCAAGGGAUUUCUCCCCCAGGCAUACAUGGUCCCGGUCCGAGCCGGUCUCGCCACCUACAAUGGCGGAAAACAAGCGGAGAGCACCCCCAAUCCUUCUAAAGGAGAGCGGGUGUGCCUCGUCCCCUAUCUAAUAAGGGGACUGGGAUUUCCAAUUCAUCCAUUUCUCCGCGGGCUUUUGGAGUUUUACGGUCUCCAGCUGCACAAUCUCACGCCCGCCUCCGUAUUACACAUCGCGGGUUUCGUCGCCCUUUGCGAGCUAUUUUUAGGCGUUGAGGCUCAUUUCGCACUGUGGAAGAGGUUAUUCUGCCUGGUGCCCCGUUCUCAAGAGGGGUCUAUCUACCAAGUGGGCGGAGCCGAAGUAUGACGCAUCGCCGGGACCGGAUACCUAUCCGGAACCCCGAAGAAGGCGUCCAAGGACUGGCCUUCGGAAUGGUUUUACAUAGAUGACGUCCUGCUACCGGACCCUAUCCGGGUCGGUCUCCCUGAGUUCAACAAUGCCCCAUUGAAGAAACGCCUGAGCUGGCGUCCACGGAGUUCUCAGAGAGAAAGUGACAGAGACGUCCUUUACCUGAUGGGCCGGAUAAGACUGUUGGCUCAUUCUGGACUAACCAUGACUGGAGUCAUGGCCGUAUGCAUUAUGCGGGGGGUGCAACCGCUUCAAUAUAGAGGCCACCCCAUGUGGGAUUUCAACGGGGAGGAUGACGCCACCCGUUGCGGUCGUAAGGGGCCGGCCUCAGCCGCCGCCUUAGUAAAGAUCUUAUCCUCUUUGUACAAGGGAGAAAAGGAGGAAUUCCUCCGCGUCAACCCGCAGGCCGGAUUCAGUAUGUACAAUCCUCAAAGUUGGGUAAGUGAACAAUUGCGCUUGCCCAUUUGUUUUAUACUCCCACGGUUAGAUAGGUAGUCUAACGACUUCGAUGCAGGAACUGCGACAGGAGGUAAAAGAUAUAAACAACCGUCCUCCACAGCCUGAGGACCCAGAACGGUCCCUCAAUCCGGACUCCGAAGAGGAUCCGGACAUAUCGGUGGAGCUUAUCGAUGGGGUGUUCCAUGAGCUAAGUAAGGACAAUACCUUGGUGGCCAUUACGGCGGAUUACCCAGGGUUAAUCCCGGCCUCCCAGGUGAUGGAAACCGGAGUCCCAUUCCCUUGAAAGAGAUUCCACUCUCACGUAUUCCGGUGUUUCUAACGACAAUCGUGUUUUGCAGGGGAGAUUUCCGAGGCAGGAGGCCGAACCUGCGGCGGCUAGCCAACGAGGGGCCGCAGGGCCCCGUGGGGCAAAAAGGAAUGUAGUCCGGACUGAGAUGCCGACGCAAAGGUAUAGCGCACCCUCUGUUUCCCUAGAGUUAUUCUAUCAGGGCAUAUUAACGUUCGUGCCAUCUUUAGAACGAAGAGACCUUGCCGGACUACAUCCGGAGAGGUUGCCAAUCGCGCCUCCACCAGCCAGGCUCCAACGUCUGGCCAGGAAGCGGAGACGAGCACAAGGCACGUACCGGACGCUCCUCCGACAGAGGAUGCGGACGGGCUGUCUGCCACAAAUUCUGAAGUGGAGAGUGCCAUGAACCACAGGCGUCACCGAACAGUUCUACGCGACGCUUGUUUCUCCCAAGAGGCUUUAGAUGCCUUUAAUUCGGGAGAUGCGUAUCUCCAUGCCGCUCAAAAUGGUUUAGCCAGAGCCACGGAGCAGUAUGUAAAAGACAUACGGGUAAGAAAAUUUUGGUUAAAUAUAUAUAUAUAUAUAUAUGUGCCAGUAGCCCCCGAGACUUGAAGCAGUUAGAGAAACUGAUUUAAGGAUCAUUUAAUAUGCAGGUUCUUACAAAGAAGAAUACCGUACUGUCCCAGGAGCUGGAAAAGUGCAAGGCCCAACUAGAGGCCGCACUAGCCGCAGCAGGGGAGCCCAAAGAGACCCCCUCAGGUAAGAUACACUUUGAAAGAUUAGUAUUGUGCGGUGUGGGUGCAAAUCUGACCGAUUAUAUUGCAGAUGGCGCCGGACUCGAUCCGGACAAGCAACAACUCUUACGCCGGCUAAAGGCCGGUGAGAGUGUGUUGACAAAGGUGAGGCGGGAGAAGAAUGAUCUUCAGGAUGCCAACACCAAGCUGGACGUUGAACUUAAAGAUGUUCAUGGCCAGCUGUCGGACUCCACGAAGGAGAAUCAGCGGCUUCGACGCAACAUAUUUAGUAAGUGCUUGAACGAACUUUGAAGAAAAAGUUCGGCGAGGAAGUCGACUAACAGAGUAAUGUCUAUAGGUAUGCUCACAGGUCGUCCUGCAGAGGAGAUGCCCGGUUCUAUGGGUGACCUUCUUCCCGAACUCUUGCAACUGCAUGAGCGAAUUCGGCAGGCGAUGCGAGGUAUUGCCCAAGCCUUAUGGCCUGCCCACUCCGUGCCCGAGGGCCUUGGAGAGCUUGCGGAGAAGCUGAAGGGAGCUCGGCGGCACUUCCGGUUGUGGAAGAUAUCGGCCUGCCGACAAGGCGCUAGGGAGGCCUGGGCCAUGGUGAAGACCCGUUUUACGAAGUCUGACCCAAACCACAUGGCUGAGGUCGGACCAGUGGGGCCUGACGGGAAGGAGAUCCCUGUAAGCUUAGUAUACAGCCAAGUAGAGUUGGCCGCAAAGUAUUCCCAGCAGGACUGUAAAUUAGACAGCCUGUUAGAUGGUAUAGAAGAGGAAUACAAUCAGUCAGAAUGACUGUGUAAUUUUGAAUUGACAUGUGUAAUGCCUUCUAGCCGGAUUGUAGAUCGUUUGUCGUUGCCGACCUUUUCGCUUCAACCUCGGGACCUGACGGUCUGGAGUGUGUCCGAAUACCCUAACAGUUAUAUAAGAACCGGGGUAUGCUUGGAGACCAGGCGUAGGGGUCAUCAGUGCUUUAUCAGACAAGUGCCCAACUAGUUAUGUUAUAUUACAUGGUUAGUAAGAAACAUCUUCCAGAGAGAAUAGUUCCGUUAAGGGUUCCUUUCACUGGGAGGCAUGCCCUAAGGUGCAUGUCCAGACUGCGUGAAGAGACGCAAAAAAAAGCAUCUGGGGGCGCAUAAAAUGAGUAAAAAGAUCAUCUUUUAUCUCACCGACCGGAUAUUCCCUUAAGAACGCUACCUUUCGGCUUCACCCAGUCUGAGGUACACAUCCGGCUGACCCGGCAGUAACAAUCGCAGAGGUGCUCCCUUUACCGCCUAGCCGAACAAUCGGGAACGUAGGGGUAAGCACAGGAGCCAGGCAACCCAGCUUGGCCAAAACUUAAGUCAUAUCGAUGCAUAUAAUGGUGAAGAAAAAGGUACAUGCGGAAGUUUGACGCAUGUGUUGGGCGUGAAGCCCGUAUAAAUAAGCUUCUGUUAAAGAAGCCCCCAGGUUUAAUGAGCGCGAGUGGCGCGUCACUAGAUGAGCCUUUAAGGGCUAUAAAAGGAAAAAAUGGGAAGGAGAGAAAUGUAAGACAGAAAAAUUCAAAAAAGAAUGGACAGAGGAAGGAGACGAACACAGAGUUCGGCGUUAGGCAUAGAAUCUUCGGAGACGGGCGGCGUUCCACGGGUUCGGCUCGAGUCGGUUGUUCGACGCAUCUCGCAGGUCGUACGCCCCACCAGUCAGGACUUGGUCGAUUAUGAAUGGACCUUCCCACUUGAGCUUGAGUUUGUCCUUUUUCUUAUCCGGCAGGCGUAGAACUAGUUCGCCAACAUUGUAAUUUUUGGCCCGUACUUCUCUGCUUUCAUAUCUUCGGGCCUGCUGUUGAUAAAAUGCGGAACGGGCUUUUGCCACGUCAUGCUCCUCCUCCAAGGCGUCCAAGUUGUCCUGCCGAUCGAGCUCGGCUUCUCUUUCUUCGUACAUGCGCACUCUAGGUGAGUCAUGAAUUAUGUCGCAGGGCAGAACUGCUUCUGCGCCGUACACCAUAAAAAUGGUGUGUAUCCGGUGGUGCGAUUUGGCGUGGUCCACAGCCCCCAUAGCAUGGAGUCGAGCUCCUCUACCCAGUGCGUGUUAGAUUCCUUGAGGGACCGCACUAGUCUGGGUUUAAUGCCACUCAUGAUAAGACCAUUUGCACGUUCGACCUGGCCGUUGGUUUGUGGGUGAUAGACGGAAGCAUAAUCGAGCUUGAUGCCCAUGUUUUUGCACCAGAGUUUUACCUCGUCGGCGGUAAAGUUUGUACCGUUAUCGGUUAUGAUGCCGUGGGGGACGCCAUAACGGUGUACGACCCCGGAUAUGAAGUCUAUCACCGGUCCGGAUUCGGCCGUUUUAACAGGCUUGGCUUCUAUCCAUUUGGUGAACUUAUCCACCAUGACGAGUAAGUAUUUUUUCUUAUGGUUUCCACCUUUAAGGGGUCCGACCAUGUCAAGCCCCCAGACCGCAAAAGGCCAGGUGAUGGGUAUAGUUUGGAGUGCGGUGGGUGGCAUAUGGCUUUGGUUGUCAAACAGUUGGCAACCAGCGCAUCGUUGGACUAGGUCCUGAGCGUCUGCCCGGGCCGUCGGCCAAUAAAAGCCUGUACGAAAAGCCUUGCUAACAAGGGACCGAGCAGCGGCAUGGUGACCACCGAGUCCGGCAUGAAUUUCAGCCAGAAGGUUUUGCCCUUCCUCUUCGGAGAUGCACCUUUGAAGGACUCCGGUAGUGCUUUUCUUAUAAAGCUCUCCCUCAUGGACUCUGUAGGCUUUAGAUCGCCGCACUAUGCAGCGGGCCUUGUUUUGGUCCUCCGGGAGUUCCUGCCUAGUAAGGUAGGCUAGGAAUGGUUCUGUCCACGGGGCGAUAACCGCCAUUAUUACGUGGGUUGAAGGUGUAAUUUCGUUGGCAGAGCCUCCAAUUGUGUCAGAUUGUUCGGCGUCGAGUGGUGCGGCUGGGUUCGGGUUGUUGUUUGCGGGUUCCCCCUCCCAUGCUACGGAUGGCUUGAACAAUCUUUCCAAGAAGAUGUUGGGGGGGACUGCAUCGUGUUUUGCUCCGAUGCGUGCUAGGACGUCCACCGCUUGAUUGUUUUCUCGGGCUAUAUGGUGAAACUCCAGCCCUUCGAACCGAGCUGACAUUUUUAGGACGGCGUUGCGGUAAGCUGCCAUUUUUGGGUCCUUGGCAUCGAAGUCUCCAUUUAUUUGGGAUAUUGCGAGGUUUGAAUCCCCGCGUACUUUUAGGCGCUGGAUACCCAUGGAUACUGCUAUCCGGAGGCCAUGUAGGAGGGCCUCAUAUUCGGUUGCAUUGUUGGAAUCCGUGUACAUGAGCUAGAGCACAUAUUGGACUGUGUCGCCUGUGGGGGACGUCAGGACGACGCUGGCCCCCAGUCCGGCCAACAUUUUGGAUCCGUCGAAAUGCAUAAUCCAGUUUGAAUAUAUGUCGUACUCUUUAGGGAGCUCGGCCUCCGUCCAUUCUGCGACGAAGUCGGCCAAAACUUGCGAUUUAAUAGCUCGCUGUGGCUUAUAGGUUAUAUCGAAUGGGAGAAGCUUGAUGGCCCAUUUUGCAAUCUGGCCCGUUGCAUCACGGUUGUUGAUGAUAUCGUUGAGUGGUACUUCCGAGGCUACUGUUAUGGAACACUCUUGAAAGUAGUGUCGUAGCUUACGAAGUGCCAUGAAUACCGCAUAUGCAAUCUUUUGAUAAUGCGGGUACCGUGAUUUGCAUGGAGUGAGGACAGUGGACACGUAGUAGACCGGCCUUUGAAGGGGGAAUUUGUGUGUGUCCGUUUCCCGCUCGACAACGAGCACUGUGCUGACAACUUGAUGUGUUGCUGGAAUGUACAAUAACAUUGGUUCGCCGGUGUUUGGCGCGGCCAGGACUGGGUUUGUUGCUAAUAUGGCUUUUAUUUCAUCAAGUCCUGCCGUGGCGGCAUCCAUCCACUCGAAGUGUUCGGUGCGCCGAAGGAGGCGAUAGAGGGGUAGUGCCUUUUCUCCCAAACGAGAGAUGAAGCGGCUUAAAGCCACCACGCAUCCGGUUAAUUUUUGUAUUUGUUUAAGGUCCUUUGGGACAUCCAAUUGUGACAAAGCUCGGAUCUUGGCUGGAUUUGCUUCAAUUCCUCUACCGGAUACAAUGAAGCCCAAGAGCUUUCCGGCUGGAACGCCGAAGACGCAUUUUUCCGGGUUGAGCUUGAUGUCAUAUUUUCGGAGGUUAUCGAAUGUAAGCCUCAAGUUGUCUACUAGGGAUUCGACAUGUCUUGAUUUGACGACCACAUCAUCCACAUACACCUCCACUGUUUUGCCGAUCUGGUGUGCCAAACAUGUCUGGAUCAUGCGCUGAUAUGUUGCGCCGGCGUUUUUCAGCCCGAAGGGCAUUGUGUUGAAGCAGAAUGGGCCGUAUGGUGUGAUGUAUGCUGUUGCAGCUUGGUCUGAUUCUGCCAUCUUGAUUUGAUGGUAACCGGAGUAUGCGUCGAGGAAACACAACGAAUCAUGUCCUGCGAUGGCAUCGAUAAUUUGAUCGAUACGGGGAAGGGGGAAGGGAUCCUUUGGGCAAGCCUUGUUAAGGUCUUUAAAAUCGACACACAGGCGCCAGUAUUUGUCCUUCUUUGGUACCAUCACCAGGUUUGCUAGCCAGUCCAGAUGUUUUAUGUCUCUAAUGAAUCCGGCCUCCAAUAGCUUGGCCAGCUCCUCUCCCAUGGCUUGUCUCUUGGGUUCGUAAACACGCCGAAGGGCUUGUUUGACAGGUUUAAAUCCUUUUAGGAUAUUUAAGCUGUGUUCGGCCAGCCUGCGUGGGAUCCCUGGCAUGUCUGAAGGGUGCCAGGCGAAGAUGUCCCAGUUCUCUCGUAGGAACUCUCGCAGUGCGGCAUCUACAUCAGGGUUCAGUCGUGCCCCGAUGGAAGCUGUUUUAUUGGGGUCCGUUGGAUGGACCUGGAAUUUGACUAUUUCGUCAGCUGGCUUGAAGGAUGUGGAUUUGGAUCUCUUAUCAAGUAUCACAUCAUCUCUGUUAACCGUGGAGCGCAGCACGGUCAGUUCCUCGGCCGCUAAGGCUUCGGAUAGCGCCUCGAGGGCUAAUGCGGCCGUCUUGUUUUCGGCGCGGAGUGCUAUGUCCGGAUCACUAGCUAGAGUGAUAAUUCCGUUCGGCCCGGGCAUCUUAAGCUUCAUGUACCCGUAAUGGGAUAUUGCUUGGAAGAUUGUGAAUGCUUCCCGCCCUAGUAAAGCGUGAUAUCCGCUCUUAAAUGGGGCCACCUGAAACGUGACUUCUUCGGACCUGUAAUUAUCCGGCGUGCCGAACACCACAUCUAGUGUGAUUUUUCCUGUGCAGCGCGCUUCCCGACUGGGGAUUAUUCCUCUAAAGGAUGUGCUGCUUCGCUCGACGCGGUUCCAGUCUAUUUCCUUUUUUUGAAGGGUUUCCUCAUAAAUGAGGUUCAGUCCGCUGCCUCCAUCCAUGAGCACCUUGGUGAGGCGAAAGCCGUCCACUAUGGGACUGAGGACCAAUGCGGCUGGUGCUCGGGCUGUUCGGAAUCUAGGUUCAUCACUUGUGUUGAAGGUAAUGGCAGUGUCGCUCCAUGGAUUUAUUGUUGCAACUUGAUAGACUUCGGCGAGGUUGCGGAGUGUUCUUUUUCGCACAUUGUUUGAUGCGAAAGUCUCGAAGACUGUGAGAACGGUACUGGUGUCCUUGGGAUGGCUUUCUGCGGCCUCCGGAAUUAGGAGGUCCUCGCCGAUUUUGGCCACCUGUCGGAGUAUCCAACAUGCUCUAAGGCUGUGAGUUGGUGUGGCGUCCUCUGUACUGUGAAUUCUACAGGGUCCAUCAAGCCAUCUUUCCAGUACGGUUCCAUGCCCUGUAGAGGGUUUUGGCUUUUUGGUGUUUAUCCCGGGUGUCCUAUGAUGCACCCUCUUAGUUCGGACGGGAUUACUACUCAAGGUCGGAUUAUCCCAAAAUUUUAUUUCGGUUUUCCAGACGCUUUCCAUCGCACAGUAUUUUUGUACUAUGGACGCCAAGUCAGCGAAGCGUGUAAUAUCACGACGACUUACAGCGUUGAGGAUUCCCUUGUCCGUGCAAUUACUGCAGAAAAUUGAGAUUGCGUCUCCCUCGCAGCAAUCCUUUAUCCUGUUCAUAACCAGGAGGAAUCUGGCCCAGUAAUGAUGUAUUGUUUCCUCGGGCCUCUGCCUGAUUUGGGAGAGAUCGCUUAUGAUCGGGUGGGCGGGUGUCGUUGAAUUUGAAACCUCACCCAAUCCAAGAUUCGGAGGCUGAAGAGUUUCCGAACUCUGAAGUUCGGAUUCUUGGGUGUUGUCCAAUGAAUCUGGCCCGUUGCCUGAUCCUAAGCUCAGGUCUUGAGUUACAUCCUCCCCUCCGCGGGUAUCCGGCUUGGAGGGGUCGGGAAUUCGGACGUAGCUAGUCCUUAGAAUAGAUGAAGGGUCGCCGCACUGCGCCUCCACCACGGCAACAUGGUGGGUGACUUGGGGAGAGUUAAUUUCUCUUAGAUCGGGUUUAAGCCCAACCUAGUCGUAAUCCGUAGCGACCCCCAGGGCGGUGAUGCGAUCCAAGAGCUCAUUUAUGAAAGAGAGCUCCAUUGGGUCUAGCUGCUCGACGAACUCCGAGCUGGCGUGUAGGUUGCUUAUGAUGACCCGAGAGGUCACCAUCGGCGCAACAGCCGAACAGCGGUCAUGAGGAAACCACCUAACCGGAGAGUUUGGCCGACAGCCAAGGCUCCCUUAGCAACGGCGCCGUCUUUAAAGAUGGGAGGAGGCAUCCUUCCUGAUUGCGACGGCACAGAGGAACUCUCAAUGAAAGCACCAAUGUCGGUGUCAAAACUGGCGGAUCUCGGGUAGGGGGUCCCGAACUGUGCGUCUAGGCCGGAUGGUAACAGGAGGCAGGGAACACGAUGUUUUACCCAGGUUCGGGCCCUCUCGAUGGAGGUAAAACCCUACGUCCUGCUUGAUUAAUAUUGAUGAUAUGGGUAGUACAAGAGUAGAUCUACCACGAGAUCAAGGAGGCUAAACCCUAGAAGCUAGCCUAUGGUAUGAUUGUUGUAUGAUGAUGUUGUCCUACGGACUAGAACCCUCCAGUUUAUAUAGACACCGUAUAGGGUUAGGGUUACAUAGAGCCGGUUACAAUGGUAGGAGAUCUUGAAUAUCCGCAUCGCCAAGCUUGCCUUCCACGCCAAGGAAAGUCCCAUCCGGACACGGGACGAAGUCUUCAAUCUUGUGUCUCCAUAGUCCUGGAGUCCGGCUGAAGGUAUAGUCCGGCUACCCGAACACCCCCUAAUCCAGGACUCCCUCACCAACUCAAGCACGAGUUCCAGCCACUUUUGCUGUGAUUUUCGAUCUCCUUGCUCAAAGCACCUCUCGCAAAACUGCUUGGGGAGAUUGUUCCUUGGUAUGUGACUCCUCCAUUGGUCCAAUUAGUUUUUGUUCUAGUGCUUUACUCUUUGCAAAUUUGUGCUGCAUAGGUGACCAUGUUCUUGAGCUUGCAUGUCAAAUUUAUAUGGUUCCAAGUAGUUCUAAUGCUUGAUAUAGGCUCUAGGCACUUGUAGGAGUAGUUGCUAUCAGUUUUAUUGAAGUUGAUUCACUUUUGUUUGAAGUUACUAAAAAUUUCAGAAUUUUUCAGAGAAAAACAAUAUGCUUAGGAAGAUGUUCCAAGGUGGUUCUUCUAAGAAGCAAGGACCCAGGAUUGCUAUGCGCGAUGCUGACGAGGAUCCACCAAGAGAUGCUCCAGUACGACCUUGCGAAUGGCCGUCGGAAAAUUUUAUGGACCGUGCGGGAAUUAAAGAAGAAUUCAAAGCAUAUUUGCGCAAUGCCGGUCUUGAGGAUUUUGAGGCUAACAAAUGCUCCCAGUAUCAUGAUCUCACAAGUUCAUUUGUGAGGAGGUUUGAGUAUUCAUCUUCGUGUAAUUCUCCUUCAGUCAUGUUUGAUCUCUAUGACAAAUCUUAUACCAUGGACUUAGAGGAUUUCACUUCUUCUUGCAAACUUUCAUCAUGGGGUAGUGUUAGGGCUCCCCCUAAAUCUGAAUUUAGAAACUUUCUUACUAGUAUAACUGUGGGGGAAUCUAGAGAUAUAACGCAGGCUACCAUAGGGAGCAUUCACUUUCCUGCUAUACAUUAUUUUGCUCUCUUCAUCGGUAGAUGCAUAAAUGCUAAAGAUGAAGCAUGUCACAUGUGUGUCCCUGAUCUUAGCAUUCUUAGGAGUGCUGUGUUAGGAGACCAAUCUUAUCAUAUGGGAGCCAUUGUAGCUCAUAGGUUGCAUCAUAAUAGACAUAAUGGAGAUUUCUUUGGAGGAAUUUAUGCAACCCGCUUAGCUCGUUUUCUUGAGAUAGACAUUCGUGAGGGUGAUACGGAAUUGCCUCCUGCAUAUUUAGAUUAUAACUCUAUGGCUUCGCACUAGUUUGUCGAGAGGCCUGAAUCACCUCUCUUAUAUCGUUUAAUUUUUGAUAAACGACGUGUUUUCCAUAUUACUCUCCUUGCUCCUUCCUUCUUUGAGGUUAUUACCAGAGAGGAGGCAGAAGAGUACGAGAGGAGAGCGGAGGUAGCUCGACUCCACACGGUAGCUCAGCAGGCGAUAACCGCUGCGCAUCAGUAUGAUCCCAACUAUUCUUCAUCGCAGUACGACCCCAGCUACACCUAUGGGUAUCCGCCAGGCUAUCCCUGGCAAUAGACCAACUUAGGCCAAAAGCCUAAGCUUGGGGAGUACGUAUUUCUCACCGACAUUACAUUUAUGCUCACACACACUCAUCACUAGAUGUCGGUGCUCAUACUCUUUCACUGUAAUAUCCAUGCUAGUUUAUUUUCUUUUUUCUGCUUUCUUCUUGUGUGUUUGUUAAACCUCGAGAAAAACCAAAAAAAAA